UACCCAACAUCACAACCCAUGGGAGUUUACUCAACACUAUGGGAAGCCGAUGAUUGGGCGACACGUGGAGGAUUAGAGAAAAUUGAUUGGAGCAAAGCUCCUUUUUAUGCUUAUUACAAAGAUUUCGACAUCGAAGGCUGUCCUGUUCCUGGACCCACCAAUUGUCCAUCGAACCCUCACAAUUGGUGGGAAGGCUACGCUUAUCAGUCACUUAACGCCGUGGAAGCUCGACGUUACCGUUGGGUUAGAGUAAACCAUAUGGUAUAUGAUUAUUGUACCGACAAGUCAAGGUAUCCUGUCCCACCAGUCGAGUGUCAUGCUUGAAAUAAUACCAUGUACAAGACGUACGUACAAUGAUCAUGUUUCUUCUUGUACGUAUAUAUAAUUGCGAGAAAAUUUGGAUUGUAAUGUCUUUUUAUGCAAUUGUGCACAUACGCAAGUACGUGGUGUGCAUAAAUAUAAUGGUUAAUGUAUGUGGUUAUUUGAAAUAUAAAAUGUUAUAUUAUGCAAUGUUUUGAAAACAACUUUACGUACGUAUAUUUUAGUGUUUUGCCCUUGGAGUCGCAAAGAGCAUCUCUAAUCCAACUUCGAAUCCUCAAAUUUUGAAAUUUUGUGUCAUUCCAACCCAAACUCAAAUCUUCAAAUUUUGAGGUUAUGAAUAAUGAAACUUCAAUCACAACCUCAAAACUAUUUAAUAUUUUUUUUUGGUCUUUAUAGUUAUUUUUUUCAUAAAUAUUAGUAACUUUUGUUAAUAUCAAGGAUUAUAAUGCAAAUAAAUAAACUUUUAAAGAUUUUUUUAAGAAUUCAUGGUUGUAGUAACCAACCCUUAAAUUCUCAUUUUGAAAUUUUACUCCUCUUAAAAUAAGGUCUCGGGUCGGAGAUGCCCUACAGUUUACCAUAUGUUUUUGAUAAACCACUAAAAAAUCACGAACACAAGAACAUGAAUGAAUAAACCAUGUUUAAAUGUCACAAUGAUUUGUUGCACAAGACAAUAUAUAUAAUUGGUUUGGCCAUAUGGUCCCAGUUCCAACAAAGGCGUCAGAUUUGCAUUAAACCUUAAGAAGAAAAUGUCUAAUCAAGUUCAGAACUUGUUGAAAUAAUGUGUAGCUCAUAGAGAAAUGCCAAGAAAACCAUUCAAAAUUAAUGGGAAUUUGAUUCCAUAUCUAAUAUUUCAACUUUCUGACCGAACUAGUUCUCACUUGUUUUCUAACAAGCAGUACUAUGAAGUUCAAUCACAUACCAUAUCUACUAAUUUGAUUUUUUUUUUUCGGUGUAAUUUGUAUGUGGUCAAAGAUAAACUUACGUUAUACAAACCACUAUUAAUCUUUUAUUUAUGGGUUUUGACUGGUUUGGAAAGGAUUAGCGGUUUCUUCUGAGUUCUCAAGGCACCGACAGUACAACAACAGCUGGAGAAGGCUUGUGGCCAUGGAGAAAAAGGCAAGUAAAAUAGUUAUUGCUUGAAGAAACUCACACACUGAUGGUGAUUGAUAGAUCAGCACUGGAAUUGAGUGGUCAGAAGGAAAAAAAAUGAGGGUACAUUCACAUUUCUUAUUGGAAAAGCUACAUGAGUUCUAUCUUAAAACAGUACAUAAUGAGAACAGUGAAAAAGGGAGUUUUGUCCUCACUGCUCAUCACUCAUUGUACCAACUCUCACUUUAUAGCAUGUUUCAUUAGAGCAUUCAGAAUUGGGACUAUGAGGAUGAUUUAUCUAAUCUAUUUUGUUCAUGUUGUUGAUUUUGACUGCGACCGGGUCUGAACAGUAAGGGCAGUUCCCAAAUAGAACAUCAAAUGACCUACAAGAAAUCGAAAUCAUAUACGAGCUUCAGAGUAUAAGACUUGUGUCUGUGUGUGUGUGAGAGGGUUUAUACUUACUGUCUUGUUGUUGUGAUAGACCUUAACCAGUCGGUGAGGCAAAUGCUAUGGAAAGACUUGUUGCAACUGAUGUUCUCGCAUGUGUAGUCUGUUCGCGUCCCACUUCUAGCUCCGAGCUCCUCAUCUUUUGUUUAAAGUAAAUGAGAAGUCAGUGAACUGUCAGCAAAUGAUUACUAUAAAGGUUCAAGGAAUCACCGGUUGGUAGAAACUGGGCAUAGCAAAUCCCGCAUUCAACUUGCUGAGGAUCAUCUUCCACCUGGAGACCUAGAGGCUUUGGAAGCUCAGUAGCUAGAAUACAUUCGAGGUUCUCAGGGAAUGAUUUUUCCUUUGACCUGUGUGAUGUCAAUUAGCUGUGACUCAUGCUUUCAAUAAUCCAUAAAGUUCAGUUUUACCAUGCUAUAAGCGAUCGAGAGAAAAGACGGGGGGAGAGAAUAGACAAAAAGGUUUACCAUUUUUUGCUAUUUCUUCUCCAUAGCAUAUGCAAGUUGUUCACAGCUAUAGGCUCAGUACCAACAAAACGGCACCUGUCUAAGUAAGUAACACACACUAUUGAAUAAUGUUCAAAGAAAAGAGGUUAAUGUGACUGUGUGUUGGCUUAGAGUCACAUACUCUGGUAAGGAUUUAGGGUCGUUGAAGUUGAUAUGAGCAAUGAUAUUGCAAUCCUUCCCUGAAAACAUCGAAUCAAUUACAUAAAAUAAAAGUAGUAUUUUUUUUUGCUAUAACAGAGAAGUAAAGAGUAAAGGUAUUAUUAUUAAACCAGCACGAAUCCGACGGAUAGGAGAAGCACGAGAUGGCUGCUUAGCAUCAACAACACAAAGAGACUUGUCGAUAUCGUCCAUGACAGACCAAAAUUCUUGAAGGCUGUCCAGAUGCUAUUAGCAAUAGCAAAAAAUGGAAAAACUAAGAUCAUGUGUGUUUGCUGAUUAGGGAUAACUAAGAGAUAAUGUUGUACCUUUUGGAACUGGUGCAUCACAUCCUUCAGGCUUGAUGUCGUUGACCAUUCUAAAGUAAACAUGUAUGGAACAUCCUAAAGAGAGAGACACACACACACACACACUAAAGAGAGUAUCUGGAAACGUUCACACAAAAGGGAAACAAGAAAAAAAAAACAAACCGAGGAAAGGGAAGGUGGGGAUUUAGGAUAGUCUCUAUGGAGUUGAAGUUCUAAGAUGUGUGCUCUUCCCUUCUUAUCUCUGUACAUUUUCACAAUUCAACAAAGCUAGAAUUGGUUAACGAUUAUAAUAGCCAAUGUAAUGCACUAGACUAAUCACAUCACCAACAACUUACAGAAUGUGAAAGCUGAAAAACGUUAAAUCUCCACCUAGCCUCCUUAGUGAUUCCCAUCCAACAUCCUCUAUCUAAAAAACCGAUACUACAAUCGUUCAUCAUCACCCCAGAAACCGAGUUUGCGAGCAAUCAAAAGGCCCAUUGAUGAACAAUGACUCACCUCCGAGUAAACUUUCCGGUAGAAGGAAGAAGAUUUCGCUAGUUCCUCGCAUCUCGCGCGUUCUAUUGAUUCCUUCAUCAUCAUCAACCUCGAAUUCGUAAACCAAGGCACUCACUCAUCUUCAAGCUCCGUAACUUCUGCAAUUGUUUAGAAAAGCUUCAGUGUUCUUUAGUGGUAACGAAUUCGAAUAUAACGAGUGUGGGCCGAUAAGCCCACUAUAUGAUAAUAUUACUAAAGGCCCAGUUUAUCUCUCUCGAGUCUUCGAGUAUUAUUGUAUUAAUCGUGCUGAUGAUAUACUUAUCCUUGUAACCAAACGGGGAUAAUUUAAAGCGGUGCAGUUUCUUUACUUUUCUCUUUCUUUCUCUGUCACUUCAGUGAAGAAGGCUCCUCCAUCUUUUUGAUCCAGGAGGUUCGUUUUCCCCUUAAUUUUGCUUAAUUUCGUAAUUUUUAUGUUUAUACUCUCUCACAAACUGAAAUUUGUUAAGCCGAUCUGUAAUUUUCGGGGUUUCUAAUUUUAUUUCAUGAUCUGAAUGGGUCAGAUCGCUGAUAAAAUAUCGAAAUAAUAGGUUGUUUUCGCUUCAGAUUUCUAAACUUUGUGUGUGUGCUUUGCAUGAGAUAUAUUAUAAUAGGUUACUCUUAUCUACUUUGUUUCUUUUUUUUUUUUGAAUAUUUUAAUUGAAUUAUUUAAUGGAUCAUUUUCAGGGUUUGUAGAUUCGAUUAAAGCUAUGGUUUGGUUUAGAACUGGCUCUUCUCUGGCAAAGCUUGCCAUACGAAGAACACUCUCUCAGUCUAGGGUUCUACCUUCUUCACACGCGAGAUGUUUCCACUCUACAUCACUCAAAUCAAACGCCGCGCCCGUCCCCCGCCCCGUCCCUCUCUCCAAGCUCACCGACAGCUUCCUAGACGGAACCAGCAGCGUGUACCUCGAGGAGCUGCAGAGAGCUUGGGAAGCCGAUCCCAACAGCGUCGACGAGUCCUGGGACAACUUCUUCAGAAACUUCGUGGGCCAAGCCGCCACUUCCCCUGGGAUCUCGGGGCAGACCAUUCAAGAAAGCAUGCGUCUGCUCCUCCUCGUCAGAGCUUACCAGGUCAACGGCCACAUGAAGGCCAAGCUUGACCCUCUGGGUCUAGAAGAACGAGAGAUCCCCGAGGAUCUAACGCCUGGUCUCUACGGAUUCUCCGAGGCUGAUCUUGACAGAGAGUUCUUCCUCGGUGUGUGGAGGAUGUCUGGGUUUCUCUCCGAGAACCGUCCCGUUCAGACGCUGAGAGCUAUACUCUCGAGGCUCGAGCAGGCGUACUGUGGAACCAUUGGGUAUGAGUACAUGCACAUUGCGGAUAGGGAUAAAUGUAACUGGCUGAGAGACAAGAUCGAGACGCCGACGCCUCGGCAGUAUAAUAGCGAGCGCCGCGUGGUGAUUUACGAUAGGCUGACGUGGAGCACGCAGUUUGAGAACUUCUUGGCGACUAAGUGGACCACGGCCAAGAGGUUUGGACUCGAGGGCGCUGAGUCUUUGAUCCCUGGGAUGAAGGAGAUGUUCGACAGGGCCGCGGAUCUUGGAGUUGAGAACAUUGUUAUCGGUAUGCCUCACAGGGGUCGGCUUAAUGUUUUGGGUAACGUUGUUAGGAAGCCUCUGCGUCAGAUCUUCAGCGAGUUCAGCGGUGGGACUAGGCCGGUGGAUGAAGUUGGGCUCUACACCGGAACGGGGGAUGUGAAGUACCACUUGGGCACGUCUUAUGAUCGCCCGACUAGAGGAGGGAAACAUCUUCACUUGUCUUUGUUGGCGAACCCCAGUCACUUGGAAGCGGUGGAUCCUGUCGUGAUGGGUAAAACCAGAGCGAAGCAGUAUUACACCAAAGACGAGAGCAGGACAAAGAACAUGGGUAUUUUGAUCCAUGGGGAUGGUAGCUUUGCCGGGCAAGGUGUGGUGUAUGAGACUCUGCAUCUUAGCGCGCUUCCUAACUACUGCACCGGUGGGACAGUGCACAUUGUGGUGAAUAACCAAGUGGCUUUCACAACCGAUCCAAGGGCGGGAAGGUCUUCACAGUAUUGCACUGAUGUCGCCAAGGCUUUAGAUGCUCCGAUUUUUCACGUCAAUGCGGAUGAUAUUGAAGCGGUGGUGCAUGUUUGUGAGCUUGCUGCGGAGUGGCGCCAGACGUUCCAUUCUGAUGUUGUUGUUGAUUUGGUGUGCUACCGUCGCUUUGGGCAUAACGAGAUAGAUGAACCGUCGUUCACACAACCAAAGAUGUACAAGGUCUGGCUGUUUUAUUGUCCAUUUCUUGAUUUUUUAUAUAUUUUGUUUCAUUUUAAUUUCUUUUUUAACGGAUGUUUUAAUUGUUGUUGAUAGGUGAUACGCAGUCAUCCCUCGUCGCUUCAAAUCUACCAAGAGAAGCUUGUGGAAUCUGGACAGGUAACGAAAGAAGAUAUUGAUAAGAUUCAAAAGAAAGUAAGCUCUAUCCUCAAUGAAGAAUUUGAGGCAAGUAAAGAGUAUAUUCCACAAAAACGUGAUUGGCUGGCAAGUCAUUGGACUGGGUUCAAGUCACCGGAGCAGAUUUCUAGGAUCCGUAACACUGGGUACAAACUUUUUAAUUUUAUUUGCUUUUGGCCUUUUUCAUAUGUAAUGUUUUGCUGUGAAACUAUUCCUUGUUAUGUUGCAGUGUAAAGCCAGAGAUUUUGAAGAACGUGGGGAAAGCAAUCUCAACCUUUCCAGAGAACUUCAAGCCACACAGAGGAGUGAAAAGAGUUUAUGAGCAACGUGCUCAGAUGAUCGAGUCAGGAGAAGGCAUUGACUGGGGACUUGGAGAAGCUCUUGCUUUCGCUACACUAGUUGUGGAAGGUAACCAUGUUCGGCUAAGUGGUCAAGAUGUUGAAAGAGGGACUUUCAGUCAUAGGCACUCCGUGCUUCAUGAUCAAGAAACCGGCAAGGAGUAUUGUCCCUUAGACCACCUGACCAUGAACCAGGACCCUGAAAUGUUCACUGUCAGCAACAGGUAACGUUUUCUGAAUCUCAUGAGAUAAUUACCAGCUUCCAAUUGUUUUUACAUGAUCCUUUUUUUUUUUUGUCAUGCAGCUCUCUUUCAGAGUUUGGUGUUCUGGGAUUCGAACUUGGUUACUCGAUGGAGAACCCGAAUUCUCUGGUAAUAUGGGAGGCUCAGUUUGGAGACUUUGCCAAUGGCGCACAAGUGAUGUUUGAUCAGUUCAUAAGCAGUGGAGAAGCCAAAUGGCUCCGUCAAACCGGGCUAGUAGUUCUACUUCCUCAUGGAUAUGAUGGUCAGGGUCCUGAACAUUCCAGUGGAAGAUUAGAACGUUUCCUUCAGGUACUAUAACCAACGAAUUUAUCACCAGAUACUUAAACAUUAUGCUUCUCUUCACUAACCAGUCCUUACUGCAGAUGAGUGAUGACAAUCCUUUUGUCAUCCCUGAGAUGGAUCCAACUCUUAGAAAGCAGAUUCAAGAGUGUAAUUGGCAAAUUGUUAAUGUUACUACACCUGCCAACUACUUCCAUGUCCUGCGUCGCCAGGUCAAAGAUUGUUUUAUGAAAGAUUGCUACUCUCUACUUGUUUGUUUUUUCACACGCUUGAUGUCAUCCAUUUGCAGAUACACAGGGAUUUCCGCAAGCCUCUUAUAGUGAUGGCUCCCAAAAACUUGCUUCGGCACAAGAAGUGUGUAUCUAACCUCUCGGAGUUCGAUGAUGUUAAAGGACAUCCUGGGUUUGACAAGCAAGGAACCAGGUUUAAACGGUUGAUUAAAGAUCAAAGUGGUCACUCUGAUCUUGAAGAAGGUAUCCGACGUCUAGUCCUCUGCUCAGGGAAGGUAAAAACAGUUUCCUUUUUUACUUGUGCUUUUGAAGAACUCUCAGAUUCUGUGACUUAGUUGAGAUUUGUUGAUCCAGGUUUACUAUGAGCUGGACGAAGAGCGACAAAAGUCUGGAACAAACGACAUAGCCAUUUGCAGAAUGGAGCAGCUUUGUCCAUUCCCUUACGAUCUCAUUCAGAGAGAAUUAAAGCGAUAUCCAAGUAAGUCACUUAAAACAUAGUAAAAAGAGAAAAGAAACGGGGACCGUGUUUGAUUCUUGUGUGGCUUUUUAAAACAGAUGCAGAGAUUGUGUGGUGUCAAGAAGAGCCGAUGAACAUGGGAGCAUAUCAGUAUAUAGCACCAAGGCUGUGCACGGCCAUGAAAGCACUGAACAGAGGAAGCUUCAACGACAUCAAAUACGUUGGGCGUCUUCCUUCAGCUGCUACAGCCACUGGUUUUUACCAGCUUCAUGUCAAGGAGCAAACUGAUCUUGUUCACAAAGCUCUUCAACCUGAUCCCAUCACCCCUAUCCUCCCCUGAAUGAUCCAUCAAGGAAAUAUAUAACAGCUUCAGCUCUUGAAGCUCAUGAGAGUCUGUAUAAAGACGACACAAAAACAAAGAUUCAUGAGAAUCUUUGGUUAUCAUCAAAUAAUUUCACUGCGGAAACCAUAUGUUUGCUAGAGAGUUUCAUUCCAGUUUGAAUGAUUUCGGUUUACUUCGGUUAUCAAUAAAAGUAAAGUAAUCAAACAUGAAUGAUUAGUCUGUUUUAGUGUUCAACAAAUAGCUAGCGGUAACUAUUCGGAGCUUGGGAUUUAAGCGUUAACUAAUUAUUUAUCUUGCUUAAACGUGUUUUAUAUAAAUAUAAAUAUUUUAAUUUUUGGAUUUAGUUAUAAAUUAUUUUAAUAAAUUGAAAAUUCUAUAUACAAAACAGAAAAAUUAUAGAUUUGUAUUAAUAUUAUUAUUUGUUGACAAAAAAGUAUUAAUAUUAUUAUUUAAUUUAACAUAUUUUAAACUGAUUUAUAAGGUUUGAAACUGAAUUAUUUGAAUAGGUUUAAAUCAUAUAAAUUGGAUUUUAAGAAAAUUGUGUGUUUGGUGUAAACCAAAUUUUAGAACGAUGGUUCGAUUAAAAUGUUGGGUUGAUUCGAUUUUUGAAAUAUUGGUUCGAUUUCUGAUUAAUGAUAUCGGUUUGAUGAAAAGUUUCGGCGCAGUCCGGUUUAAACUCACCAGUGUAGGAGUGACGGGUGGUUGCAAUCUUGUUAGAGGAAAAACCGAGAAAAAUGGGGAGCGAACUCCGAUUGGUGCUGAUCAUCUCUUUCGUUUCCGUCCUCGUUUUCUCGACUUCAUCGUCUCCGUUGCCUCGUUUUCCUCGCCAGAACCGAGCCAGAAUCCAGCUCUUCGGGGAAGAUCGAAACGAUUACCAAUACGAAACUAAGUACUUCUCCCAGCAGCUGGACCACUUCAGCUUCGCCGAUCUUCCGAAAUUCUCGCAGCGUUACUUGAUCAACUCCGCUCACUGGACCGGUGCUUCUGAGCUCGGACCUAUCUUCCUCUACUGCGGCAACGAAGGCGAUAUCGAAUGGUUCGCUACAAACUCUGGAUUCAUUUGGGAGAUCGCUCCCAAGUUUGGCGCAUUGCUUGUUUUCCCUGAGGUUCGUUGAUGUUGUUUUUGAUUAGAGCCUUAGAAAAAUAAAGAAACUCGUUACUGAUCUUUAGUAAAUGUUGUGUGUAGCAUAGGUAUUAUGGAGAGUCUAUGCCUUAUGGAAGCAGGGAAGAAGCUUACAAGAACGCUACCACCUUAUCCUAUCUCACAACUGAGCAAGCUCUUGCGGAUUUUGCUGUGUUUGUUACUGAUUUGAAACGGAACUUGUCUGCUGAAGCAUCCCCUGUUGUGUUGUUUGGAGGAUCAUAUGGUGGAAGUAAGUCAUAUGAGUAUUCUUUGUGUUGGUGGAAUUGAGACUUUUUGAGUGAUUUUUUUUUUUUUGCUAAUGAUGGAAAACAUCAGUGUUGGCAGCAUGGAUGAGGCUUAAGUAUCCUCACAUUGCUAUUGGAGCAUUAGCUUCUUCAGCUCCGAUUCUUCAGUUUGAAGAUAUUGUACCUCCUCAGACGUUUUAUGACAUUGUAUCUAAUGAUUUCAAGGUAUACUUGUUUUUUUUUUGUUUUGUUUGUCUGGUUGAUCUUCUCUAGUUCUUAUUCUGGCUGUUUUUUUGGCUUGUAGCGUGAAAGUAGUAGCUGCUUCAACACCAUAAAGAACUCGUGGGAUGCAAUUAUAGCUGAGGGUCAGAAAGCGAAUGGUCUUCAGCAGUUGUCGAAAACUUUUCAUUUUUGUCGGUAAGCAAGAAAAACUGGAGUUAACUUAAAUGGUCUGUCGUUCUCUGUUUGUAUUUGAGCUAAAUUGAGUGGCGUCUUUGUUUUUCAGGGCGUUGAACAGUACAAAUGACCUUUCAGACUGGCUGGAUUCUGCUUAUAGUUAUUUGGCAAUGGUGGACUAUCCGUAUCCUGCUGACUUUAUGAUGCCUUUGCCUGGACAUCCCAUUAAAGAGGUACAUUUUUGGUAGAUUAUCCUAGUCACAUAUUCUCCAAACCAUAUAAUAGUUUAGACAUUCGCUACCUCAUCUGUAUUUUUUUCAUCUUUACAUGAACGACCCUACGAGGCUAUGCUUUAAUGGCUCGCUUGUUAGUUCGUCCUUUGAAGUCCCGAGUUUAAUAAGACUUUAUCUUUAUGUAGGUCUGCAGAAAGAUUGAUGGAGCUAGUAGUGAUGCUAGCAUCCUAGAACGCAUAUAUGCAGGAGUAAGUGUGUACUACAACUAUACUGGGAAGGUUGGCUGCUUCGAGUUGGAUGAUGACCCUCAUGGUUUGGAUGGGUGGAACUGGCAGGUCUGAAGAAUAGCUGCUAUGUUUAUUUUCUUUUUCCAGAAACUUUAAUGGUUAAUCUCCUUGUGCCUUUGGUUUACAAUAGGCGUGCACGGAGAUGGUAAUGCCCAUGUCUAGCAGCCAAAAAAACAGCAUGUUUACAGCUUACGAUUUCAAUUACUCUUCAUACAAAGAGGAUUGCUGGAACACAUUCAGAGUCAAUCCAAGGCCUAGAUGGGUCACAACAGAGCUCGGUGGUCAUGUAUGACCCUUUUUUUUUUUUGAUAACUCAAGAUUCUUUGGAUGGCCAUGAUCUGAAUUUUUACUCUCUGUCACUUUCUCCAAUGUAAAAGGACAUAGAGACCACUUUGAAGUCUUUUGGAAGCAACAUCAUUUUCUCAAAUGGUCUGUUAGAUCCUUGGAGUGGUGGCAGGUAAGAACAUUACUCUCUUUACUCAGAUCCCGAGAGCUAUUUUUUCAAUACGAUUCUCGUAAUGGCAAUGAGUGCUUGACUCGUAAAAUGCAGUGUUCUGAAGAACUUAUCCAGUACCAUUGUUGCUCUUGUCACAAAAGAAGGUAUAACUAAUAGCCUCAUAAUCAUCAUCAUCAUCCGUUCACGUGGAGACUAUUGAUAAUGGUUUUGUUUUCUUUCUUAGGUGGACAUCAUUUGGAUCUACGACCUUCAACUCCAGAAGACCCAAAAUGGCUAGUGGAGCAGCGAGAAGCCGAGAUAGGAUUGAUCCAAGGGUGGAUCAGAACUUAUCGACUAGAAAAAGAAGCUCAAUUUCCUUUGCUAAAACGUUCUUGGUAAGAUGACAAUGUAAAAUAAUCUGAUCAGUUCAUGCAUAACUCAGAAUCUGCAAACUCUGUAACACAUCGUGUUUGAAUAAAUCUAUUCAAGCUCUUGGCGUGUUUGAAUAAAUCUUUGUAAACUCUCGGUGUUCACUACUAGUGUGUUUGAUAAAUAAAUUUGAUUUGGGUUAUUGAAAAAGUAAUAAAUACACGCUAACUCAAGAAAUGUAUGGGCUGCUGGCUCUACACACCAAAACACAUCUGUCAAGUUUGUAAAGAUCAACUUAAAGAAUCAUAAAUCUCAAACACGUGAUACUUGUCAAGACAGAGAGAAUGAUACAUUUAAUGAUUAGAGAAAAGAGUCGAAAAUCUUAAUUACCAUAUUUAAUCACCCCUUUUAAACUCCAUAUUGAAAUUUCUUGGUUUUAAGUUUUAACCGCUUGAAACGAAUAUGUGAAGGCCUUGAAAUGCUACCGCUGAUACUUUUGACUAGUCACUAAAAAAUAAGCGAGCCAGAGAGACGCCACUAUUCUAUUCUUUGCUGUGUGUGUGUGAGAGAGAAAGAAAAGUGAAGAGGCUACAGUCGUGGUUCUGAUCUCUAAUAUCGGAGACAUUUGGGGGUCAAUUGUUAACGGCUAUGGCGACUUGUUACGUUUUUAUUGUGCUUAACGCGUUGGCCAAAAAACUUAUAUGAGGUAUGUGUUAUUUUCAGGCUGUCUUUGAAAGGGAAUCUUCACUACUUGAGAAAGAGCAAGAGCUGCUUGUUGUUGAAGAAAAAAUAGCCAGCAAGGAAUCUGUGAGUUUUCUUGUUAGAUUCAGCGUACUUUAUGUUUAUCGUUCAUAAUUUUAGUUUUGUGCUUAUUUGUUUGCGAGAGUUAAAGUGCUUUUAAACAAUCAAUACAUGAACUGAUUCAGAAGGUCUUAGCCAAUCGAGAAGUUAUCCUGAGGAAAAGAAAAUCUGAUGUGGAAGGUGAGUUGGAAAGUAAGUGCAAAUUGGCGGAAAAUGAAAUCGAAAGCAAGAGACGGGUUUGGGAGCUAAGAGAGGUUGAUAUCAAGCAGAGGGAGGAUCUAGUUGGUGAAAAAGAACAUGACUUGGAAGUUCAAUCAAGGAAAUUGGCAGAGAAAGAAAAGAAUUUAACAGAGAGGUCUUAUAGGCUUGACGAGAAAGAGAAGCAUUUGAAUGCUACAGAGGAAGAUAUCAACCGUAAGACAAAUCUGCUGGAGAAUGAGAAGGAACGAUUAAGAAAGUUAGACUUAGAUCUGCAGCAGACUUUGGUUUCAUUAGAAGACAAGAGAAAACGUGUUGACUCUGCAACGGAAAAACUUGAAGCCCUGAAGAAUGAGACAAGCGAAUUAUUCAUUCUGGAGAUGAAACUCAAGGAGGAGCUAGAUGAUAUGAGGGGUCAAAAGCUUGAACUCCUGGCUGAAGCAGAUAGAAUAAAGGUGGAGAAAGCUAAAUUUGAAGCCGAGUGGAAACACAUUGACGUGAAAAGGGAAGAGUUAAGAAAAGAAGUGGAGUAUAUUACUCGUCAAAGAGAGGCUUUCUCGACGUAUCUCAAGGAGGAGCAAGACUGAUAUCUUGCAUAUUUACAUUGUUUUAUCCAUUCAUCCAUGAGCAUUUUCAUCAUAUAGAUUAGGAUUUAGACAUGUUUAGGUUGCAUUUUGCAUACAUGAGUCUCUAUUAGGUACUGGAGUACCACAUAAGGUUAUUUGGAGCUCAAAAGAGGUGAAAAGGUGACCAUUGGACGAACCGAGCAUGGGAGCGACCUCCCGGAGCGACAUCACGAAGUCGCUGUGUCCCACUUCUCAGAGCGACCUUCCUAAAGCGACGCCAUGAAGUCGCUCGCGUUCUCAUUACUCCGAACAGUCUUAGAUGACCCUGGAGCGACCUCUCAGAGCGACCUACCAAGGUCGCUCCCGAUCCAGAGCGACCCGUUGGAGCGACACACCAAAGUCGCUCGCGACCUCUCGCCCGGAGACACCAAAAAUCGGCCCUGGAGCGACUUCCCGGAGCGACACCUGCAAGUCGCUCCGCGUUAUUUUGCUGCCGAAAAUCACGAUUUCUUAAGGACCUUUUUGCAAUUUAUUUUGGACGUUUUGCACUUGGAAAAACCUAUGUUUUAAACAUCUUUUGUAGCCACCAGGCAGAUUAUCUUUUAUCUAUUGAGAAAUACACAAAAACUCUCUUGAGAAGUUCAUCUCUUGGAUUUUGAUUGUUAUGUUCUUGUGUUGAUUUCUUAUCUAUUUCUCUAGAUGAUUAAUCUGAAAUCCAAUAUGGGUUUAAGAGGAAUCAUGGAGAUUAGUGAGUAAUCACCUUUUGAAUUCAUGGGUUAGGGAGAUUACGGGUGAUUAGGUUAGAGCUAGGAUGUUUUAGUGUAGAUCAUUCAUAUUUCCUUGCUAGUAGAGUAAUCAUAAUGCAUCUUCUGAGUUGGCCACUCAGUUGUUGAUCCUUAGGCAUUUUUCACCCGAAAGAUGUUCGAUGAAAUGCCCGAGACAACUCUUCUAGGCUUUUAGUAUACUUUGCCAAAGACAUUUGUUGUUAAAGAUGCUAAGAUAGCUAAUAGACUUGUUAGUAAUGAUUGCUUUCAUAUUAUUCAACCAAAGACAUUUGAUGUUUGAGAAAUGUUAGCAAAUGAGCAUUCAUCUAGACAUAGAGCUUGCUUAGAAUUGUGUCUAGGUUUAAGGUUGAUAGUUUGAUUGAUCAUUUGCCAUCCUUAGUUCUAUACUUGAUCACCCAAGGUAUAAUCCCUAUGCCCAUGAGUUCUCUUUUCCCUUAGUCAAGAAAGUAUCAUUCUGUUAUUGCUUUCUAGUAUUAGUAGUAGUUUAUACUACAACAUUUGUCUUAGGAGCCUUGAAAACUCCUAACAUCAAAUUGGCGCCGUUGCCAAAUUCUGAGUAGAUUUAAACAUUGAGAUUUAGUCACUUGCUUGAGAUUAAGUCAUUUUUAUUUUCUUUUGUUACUGAUUCUCUUUCUUCACAUCCCUUUAAUCUACAGGUGUAUGAACUUGAGGAGCAGGGGUCCAUCAAACCUAGUUCCAAGAGCUGCAGACAUCAGAGCUUUAGAGAGAGAGUGUGCUAGAAAGAGAAGAGAAGAAGAGCAACAAGCUCACUUGCAGAGAUUGGAUACUGAUAUGGGAGACAUACCUCAGGAUGAUGCUGCCGCCAAUGGAGCUAACAACGUUCCACCAAACCAACAGCGAGCAGCUCGACCCAUUGGCACUUAUGACCGCCCCAACAUUCAUGGUCAUAGAUUGGAAAUCCGAGCACCAGCUGUAGCAGCCAACAACUUUGAGAUCAAAUCAGGACUCCUCAAUGUGAUUGAGAACAACAAGUAUCAUGGCUUGGCUCUAGAGGAUCCAUUUGAUCACUUGGACAGGUUCGACAGCUACUGUGGGUUGUCAAAAACCAAUGGUGUGUCCGAAGAUGCCUUAAAACUCAAGUUAUUCCCUUUCUCUUUGGGGGAUAAGGCACAUCAGUGGGAGAAGUCUCUACCCAGUGACUCCAUCACCACUUGGGAUGACUGCAAGAAAGCAUUCUUGGAGAAGUUCUUCUCUACUUCAAGAACUGCUAAGCUGAGAAACGAGAUUUCCAGCUUUCAACAGAAGAACUUGGAAGGCUUCAGUGAAGCCUGGGAGAGAUUCAAGGGCUACCAAGCUCAAUGCCCACACCAUGGCUUCUCUAAGGAGAGCUUGCUGAGCACAUUCUACCGUGGUGCUCUUCCUAAGUACAGAGCCAGACUGGAUACAGCUAGCAAUGGGUUCUUCUUGGGGAGAACUGAGGAGGAUGCAGAAGAGCUGGUUGACAACAUGGUAAAGAGUGAUGCAGUCUACAGUGGAGACCACGACAGAGGUAGUAGAACAGAUGAUAAGCAGACGAGGAAAGAGAUCAAAGCUUUGGAAGACAAGAUCGACCUACUCAUUGCUGAAAAAGCAACCCAAGAGCAGCUGAAGUUUGUUGGUAACUCCAAGCAGGAAGAUCCACUUGCUGUCAAUGAGGUUGAGGGUUUGGAAGGUCAAGAGGAGUUGUGUUUCAUUAACAACAAUGGUAGCUGGUACAAAAAAGAGCCCAACUUUCAGUACAACAACUACCAACAGAAAUCCUAUCCAACCAACCAACAGAGUGGUUAUCCGCCUAGAAACAACCAGCAAGGCAGCUAUCAGCCUCAGCAAAACCCCUCGUCUGGUUCCUCUGCUCCUCAAGAGAGCAGCACUGAUACCUUAUUGAAACAAAUCUUGGAGUCUCAGACUAGAAGUGAGAAGCAUGUUGGUUAUGAGUUGAAGAACCUUCAUACCAAGAUUGAUGGGAGUUACAAUGAGCUCAACAACAAAUUCUCACACCUUGCUUCUACAGUCAGGAAUUUAGAGAAUCAGUUUACUUCCAUGAACACUCACCAGAAUCGCCAGCAAGGAUCUCCACCUGGAAAGUCUGACCAAAACCCCAAGGAGGCCAAGGCUAUCACCCUUAGGAGUGGUAAGCAGUUACCUCCUAGAACCCUCACCAAGGAUGCUGAGAAACUAAGUGAGGGGGUUGCCAUCAACAUAGAUGAUGAAGUAGUGAUUGUUGAUGAGAAGAUCAAUGACGAGAUCUUGGACAAGAUAGUGGAAGCCAGAGGUAAAGGAAAGGUUGGAGAAGAGAAGAAGACAGUAAAAGAUGGUGAAGUUGGUACUCCAACAAGUGAGAGUUCUUUUGUUCCUCCUCCCUAUGAACCCAAACUUCCAUUCCCUGGUAGAUUCAAGAAGCAGCUGCUAGAGAAGUACAAGGCUCUGUUUGAGAAGCAAAUGAGUGAAGCUCAGGUUGCAAUGCCCAUCAUCGAUGCUUUUAUGUUGAUUCCUCAAUACAACAAGUUCUUGAAAGAUGCUGUAGCUGCAAAGAAGAAGGAGAUGGAAGACAUGAUGAUCCUUACCCAUGAGUGCAGUGCCAUCAUCCAGAGGCUUGAUGUUCCAGAGAAGUUAGAGGAUCCAGGAAGCUUCACACUACCUUGUGCUCUUGGACCUAUGGUAUUUGAGAAAAGUCUCUGCGAUUUGGGAGCUAGUGUCAGCUUGAUGCCUUUGUCUGUUGCAAAGAAGCUUGGAUUCACUCAGUACAAGAAGUGUAGACUCUCUCUGGUGUUAGCUGAUCGUUCAGUGAAGUACCUGUGGGCAUCUUAGAGGACCUCCCUGUGAAGAUUGGAAGGUAUGAGAUACCUACAGAUUUUGUGGUGCUUGAGAUGGGUGCUCAAGACCAUUGAUUCUAGGAAGGCCAUUCUUAGCUACAGCAGGAGCUAUUGUUAAUGUGAAGGAAGGCACGAUUGAUCUCCAUUUGGGUAAAGAGAACAUCCUCCACUUUGACAUCAAGGGAAAAUGAGGAAACCAACUGUGUUCGGGCAAGCCUUCUACAUUGAAGAGAUGGCCACUCCUGCUGAUGAGCACCUUGAAGAGUUACCACCUGAGGACGACGAGGAGGGAGCAUCUCCCUCUACUCAUUCCCCAUAGAAGGUAACCCACCACACUCCCUUGUAUAUACCAUUUUAUUUUUGCAUAUUAGUCUUCUUUUCGGUAUCUCUCUCUCUACUUGACAACACAGAGACUGUGUAACUCAAGUUUGGGGGAGGUACCAAGUAUUUGAUCAUGUUUGCUUUGAUGUUGUUUCAUUGAGUCAUGCAUGGCAUACCUAUUUGCAUAGAUAAAAAAAAAAUCAAUCAUUUAGUUUGCAUCAUUUGCAUUUUUAGGAGAGUCUAGAGCAUAUAGUUUGCAUUCACUUGCAUUGGGAGCAUUGAUUUUGAAUGCCUUGUAAAGAACACUACGUUGCACUUGAGUAGUUUUUGCACCUCUCAAAAAGACUUGUAUGUUUCGAGCCUUGAAAACUCUUCCUGAAACUUGUUGAUUGCUGAAACUCAGUCUUUGAAGCCAACUACGACCUUAUUUGAACUGAACGAACUUAAUGCUUCUUGCUCAUGGUACCUUGUGUACUGAGUCAUGGCUAUACACACUUGAGUUGUAACAUCUUUUAUACCAAUCUUUUUUUGACAAACUCUAGUGGUAGACCACUCCCAAAACCUUUUCCUCCUUUUAAGCUUUCAUUGUUUGAUGAGUGAGGCAUUUUUUGGGAAGUCUUACAUGUGCAUAAUGUUGAGAGUAUCGGGAACGACAAUGCUUGAUCUUCAUUCUUGCUAGAUUGGGCACUCUAUUGUCUAGCUAUAGGUGGGGGGUGAGUGUUGUGAUUAUGAUUUGGGAGAAAUGAAAAAGGAAUAGAAUAGACUCUUUGUGCUUAAGUGAAUUGUUUUAUUGGGAUAGUAGAGAAGCCUCUAGCUCAAGUUUUGAAAAGUCUUGGCCCCCAGCCUAAAAAAAAAAAAAAAAAAAAAAAAAGGAAAAAAAAACGAAAAAAAAAAAAAAAAAAAAAAAAAAAAGAAAAGAAAAAAGGGGGCUAGCAAAGUUGUUAGGAGCUAAGAAAUGUUUUGAGGUUGUGAAAAAUCCCUUGUAGAUUUCAAAGAGAAGGAGUUAAAGUUCUUAGGAUCUUUUGGUGAGAGAUGUGAGUUGGGUUUGACAUUGGGAAAUGAUUGUGUGAUUUGUAUGUUUGGGAAAAGGGUAGAACAAUGGAGAUUGAGCAUUGUAUGCAUGAGUUGGUCCCUUUCUUAGAUAUAUUAUGUGCAAUGUCAAGGCUACUUGUUUUGAGAGUAAACCACCUUAAAGAUCAUAUGUUUUGAACCUCUUGAAUCACUUGAAUAAAAGCCUUCCCUUACCCAACCAAAUGACUUGGACCAACUGACCAUUUGCAAGAAUUCACCUGAUGUUUUGUGCUUAAUGAAUGUGAGAGUUGGUUGAUUUGAAUGUGUGGAUGCUUGAUGAUGAGUGUAAGAACAAAAAGAGUUAAGAUAGGCCUAGAGAAGCUAGAGUGUAAUAAGAGAGUGUGCUAGUUGUGUUUCUUUUGGCUAUGUGCUCCCUCCUUCAACCUCUCUCCCUAUGAGUUCUAGAAAGUUCACUUGUGGACAAGUAAAAGAACAAGUUUGGGGGAGUUGAUAUCUUGCAUAUUUACAUUGUUUUAUCCAUUCAUCCAUGAGCAUUUUCAUCAUAUAGAUUAGGAUUUAGACAUGUUUAGGUUGCAUUUUGCAUACAUGAGUCUCUAUUAGGUACUGGAGUACCACAUGAGGUUAUUUGGAGCUCAAAAGAGGUGAAAAGGUGACCAUUGGACGAACCGAGCAUGGGAGCGACCUCCCGGAGCGACAUCACGAAGUCGCUGUGUCCCACUUCUCAGAGCGACCUUCCUAAAGCGACGCCAUGAAGUCGCUCGCGUUCUCAUUACUCCGAACAGUCUUAGAUGACCCUGGAGCGACCUCUCAGAGCGACCUACCAAGGUCGCUCCCGAUCCAGAGCGACCCGUUGGAGCGACACACCAAAGUCGCUCGCGACCUCUCGCCCGGAGACACCAAAAAUCGGCCCUGGAGCGACUUCCCGGAGCGACACCUGCAAGUCGCUCCGCGUUAUUUUGCUGCCGAAAAUCAUGAUUUCUUAAGGACCUUUUUGCAAUUUAUUUUGGACGUUUUGCACUUGGAAAAACCUAUGUUUUAAACAUCUUUUGUAGCCACCAGGCAGAUUAUCUUUUAUCUAUUGAGAAAUACACAAAAACUCUCUUGAGAAGUUCAUCUCUUGGAUUUUGAUUGUUAUGUUCUUGUGUUGAUUUCUUAUCUAUUUCUCUAGAUGAUUAAUCUGAAAUCCAAUAUGGGUUUAAGAGGAAUCAUGGAGAUUAAUGAGUAAUCACCUUUUGAAUUCAUGGGUUAGGGAGAUUAAGGGUGAUUAGGUUAGAGCUAGGAUGUUUUAGUGUAGAUCAUUCAUAUUUCCUUGCUAGUAGAGUAAUCAUAAUGCAUCUUCUGAGUUGGCCACUCAGUUGUUGAUCCUUAGGCAUUUCUCACCCGAAAGAUGUUCGAUGAAAUGCCCGAGACAACUCUCCUAGGCUUUUAGUAUACUUUGCCAAAGACAUUUGUUGUUAAAGAUGCUAAGAUAGCUAAUAGACUUGUUAGUAAUGAUUGCUUUCAUAUUAUUCAACCAAAGACAUUUGAUGUUUGAGAUAUGUUAGCAAAUGAGCAUUCAUCUAGACAUAGAGCUUGCUUAGAAUUGUGUCUAGGUUUAAGGUUGAUAGUUUGAUUGAUCAUUUGCCAUCCUUAGUUCGAUACUUGAUCACCCAAGGUCUAAUCCCUAUGCCCAUGAGUUCUCUUUUCCCUUAGUCAAGAAAGUAUCAUUCUGUUAUUGCUUUCUAGUAUUAGUAGUAGUUUAAAACUCAUCUAAAUCAUUGGUUGCACUUAGAUUAAGUGAGUACUUGCAUUCUCGGUGCUUUGAUAUCCCUCAGAACUGGUUCGACAAUCAUUUAUACUACAACAUUUGUCUUAGGAGCCUUGAAAACUCCUAACAUCAAAGACAACAUCAGGGAGGAAAGGGAUGCGCUGAGAAAUCAGCAGAAGAACGACGUGGAGGCGCUGAACCGAGAGCGUGAAGAAUUCAUGAAUAAAAUGGUGGAGGAGCAUUCAGAGUGGCUUAGCAAGAUACAGCGCGAACGUGCUGACUUCUUGUUGGGUAUUGAGACACAGAAAAAAGAGUUGGAGUAUUGCAUUGAGAACAGACGAGAAGACUUGGAGAAUUCUUCGAGGGAGAGAGAGAAGGCUUUUGAGCAAGAGAAGAAGUUGGAAGAGGAGCGUAUACAGUUCCUCAGGGAGUCGGUGCAGAAAGAGUUAGAAAAUGUACAAGUGGAACUAAAGAGGUUGGAUUUAGAGAAGCUGGAGAUCAAAUUGGACCGUGAGAGGAGGGAGAGGGAGUGGUCUGAGUUGAAGGAUUCGGUUGAGGAGCUAAAGGUUCAACGAAAGAAACUAGAGACGCAAAGGCAUAUGCUUCGAUCCGAAAGAGAAGAAAUCAGACAUGAGGUUGAAGAGCUGAAGAAGUUGGAGAAUCUGAAAUUUACGUUAGAUGAUAUGUCAAUAGCUAGAAUGCAAUUGUCCAAUUUAGAGCGUAGCUGGGAAAAAGUGUCUGCAUUGAAGCAGAAGGUUGUUAUUACUAGGGACGAAGAACUAGACUUGCAAAAUGGAGUCAGCACUGUGAGUAAUAGCGAAGAUGGUUAUAACUCAAACAAUGGCUCAAGCCCUUCAUCCGCCACUCCAUUUUCAUGGAUAAAACAAUACACUAAUAUGAUAUUCAAGAAUCCUCCGGAGUCAUCCCUUCCAAUGCAUCAUCAUGAAGGAGCAUUGCCUUCAAAAAAAAGAGAAGAAAAGGCUUCACCAAGGGGCUGUCGAUUGCAGUUGAAAACCUUGAAGUCGGAAGGAAAAGAAGAUGUAACAAUGCAUCUGGAAGUGACACUAAUGAAACAAGCAAUCAAAAGAAGAGGAAACAUGAUGUUACCCAUGAAGCUGAUCCGGAGAGGUAAAAUUUAUGGUCGCUCAGUAACAAAUUUUUUCUUGUUACUAAAAUGAUAUGCAUUUUCAAUUUUGUCAGUGUAAUUUCAAGCCCUCAAAAUGUGCCCGAGGACAAACAUGAACUGCCAUCAAACCAAACCCAAGCACCACCAAGUGUUAUGGUAGUCCUCAGUGAAAUGGUGAAGAUCACAAAAGUAACGUAUGAGACAGAGUUCAUCAACAAAGUGUCAAACAUUGAGUGCUCAGAUGAUCCUUCUGAAGCAGGAACGAAGAUGGUAGAGGAGAAGAAGCAAGAUAGUGAUUGCAAUGAGGUGGGUUUUUUCAACACACAAACCCUCUCGAAAGCAAAAUUUUUCUCAUUACUAGUGUAACUAAUGAAUACUUUUUCUCUCUUGCUGUAGACUGGGAUAAAGGAGAAGGAUUCUGACGAUGGUGGCAUUGUAACAUGAGUUAACUGACAGGAGGUAUAAGCAUAUAAGGUUUGACCAAGUCUUCACUAAUGACCUCCCACAUUUGAAAGAGUAUCAAAAUUCACAAACAAGAGUUAUUGUUUCUCUUUUAUCGAUAUAGGGAACUCUAUGAAUCCUUAAGGGUUUGUUUCUGGAUAAGAUUUGAGUAUGUAAAUGGAUUUGAUUGGUUUCAAAACUCUCUCGAGAUGUUAUAUAACUCUGAGUCAUUAUUAUUUGUUUUUUUUUUCAUAUUUUAAGUGAGUAGAGAGAGUGUUGGUAUGUAGGUAAGAAUCGUUGGUUGCUUGUGUGUUGCAGAGUUUGCCUGAGCAAAUGAUUUGUCGGUUUCAAAGACUCGGUUUGAAAAUCAGUUUCGGGUUUUUAUUUGUUUGAUAAUGCUCUAUCUUGUUGAUGAUGAUGGCGUUUAGCCCACCAGCAGUGAAGUGAAAGUGUCAACGGCAUUGUCUCUUAUUUGUCUGUCACCGUCGCUGUUUCCAACUACGAGGACCUGAUGGCCCGGCCCAGUUUAUGGUGUUUUGUAUUUGAGCCUUGCCCAUUAUUUCAUGGACUAUAGAAUUUCAAAGUCAAAUUGAAUAUGCUAAAAAUAGCCGCAGAUCUUAGAGCAUGAUUAAUGGUGGGUUCUUAGAGUGAGUUUUCUAGCGGAAUAUAAGAACCUGUCUCUUAAUUUUUAACUAAAAUAGUUAAGACCCGGUUCUUAAAUAUCUUAUUUAAUAACUGGUUUUUAGUUUUUUUUAGUUAAAAGUUAAGAGAUGUGUUCUUAUAUUCCGAUAAGAACCUCACCCUAAGACCAUGAUUAAUCUGGGUUCCUAGGAUAGGAUUCUUAGCUUCGGCUAAGAACUGUUUCUUAACUUUUAACUAAGAAAAGCUAAGAACCGUCACUUAAAUAAGAGAUAUAAGAACCGGUUCUUAGCCGAAAAGUGUAAAAAAAACAAAAACAAAAAAAUGUCAAAUCAUGAGUUAAGAACCUCAAAUUAAGAAUCCGGGUUAAUCAUGCUCUAAGAAUCCACCAUUAAUCAUGCUCUUAGGUGAUGACAUUCCGCCAUAUCCCCUUUUUGCUUUGAGAUUAGGAUCUCAUUAUGAUGUCUUUCCACUUUUUUUUAUGCCGAAACCUUAAAGCCCUACGAAAAACAUAGCAAUAUUUGAUAUUUAUGCUGGCUGUGCAGAUAUUCGAAUUUCAUGCUUGCUUCUAAGGUUUCAGGAAUUUUCAUUAUUGAGAUUAUAAAAUAAUAAUAUUUCGUCUUUUAGAACAUUAUUGAAUGCAAAAUAAUUAUCUCUCGUCACUUAUUUUUUGCAAUUGUUUUGCCUAAUCGUAUAUGCUAACAUCAGAAAGCUAUGGCGAAGAACAGAUUGAGUGUGAAAUGGGUGAAGAAAUCGGCAUUCAUUUGUGGGUUAACUUACCCCGCUUAAUGAGUGACAGCUUAAUUCUACUUUGCAACUUGAGGGAUAUUUAUUUUUAAUCAUAUACUUAUUUAAUUAAGCUAAAAUAGUCUAAACCCCACUAUCUUUGUCUUUAGACCGACGCAUUCCCCUCCUAUCCUGGUUCAAACCCUUAAACCUACUAAUUUCUGAAAUCAAUCUCCAAGUAAUCGAUAUCUUUCUGGAAUUCUUAUGAAUUUAAUUAUUUAGAGAAUGAUUUUGUAUGGUAUAUACUUGAGGAAAAGCUUAUCAAAACUCAUUUAAACUUCUAGAUACACGAGGAGACGUAGAACUUCGUGCAAAAGGAUGUCAUAAUUAUCUCAUGAUUACGUUAUAGGAACAUGUUUUAUGGGAGUAGUAAGUUAUUUUUUGGAUAUAGUGUAACAAAAAGAGUGUAUACUUGUCACGAGAGUCAUAUCAUAGAAGUAGAACUCACCUUCCUUUUCUUCAUCUUUAAUUUAGAAUACUUCCAAAAAGUAAGUGGAUCCUGAAAAGUACCAUUAUGAUUUAUGAAAAGAGAAGAGAAAAAUCAAAGAAGAAAGAAAGAUGCCUUGAUAUAUAUUACAGUGACCUUCCUCUUCUUAACCUUUACCAUCUUUGUUUGACAAUUGUCUUUCUCCUCAAAAAGUUAUUUUUAAUGGAUCAUUCAAUUUUAGUCAAUCUUGUAGUUGUAUGUAUUAUCAUCUAUAUGAUAUGAAUCCUGGAUGAGUUUCACAGAUCCUUGAAUACCAUAUUUAGCAGAAAUAUAUAUAUAUAUAUAUAGAUAUAAAUAAAAUUUUACAAAUAUCAAUUCAACAACAAAUAUUUUUCAUAGGCUAAAAAGUUCUCCUAGUUCAGCAUGUCCUAACUACAAAAUAAUUGCAAACCACAGUAUCUAAUAUUUAACUAUUUGUAACACAAAUGUUAUGGUUAUUAUUGAAAGUUAGGACACAACAAACUAAAAAGAACCCUAGGCUGUAUUGAGCAACAAAAGAUAGGAUGUGUUAGCGUAAAUGCCAUGUCAUAUAAAUAUGCAUGGUAAGUUGGCAAUGACAUUAUCUCAAUAAUACACAUAUUUUAAGGGAUUUAUCACUUUUUAUGGGGAAAUUGAAAAAGAAGGAAUGGGCUACGCUGAAAGACCAAUUUAUGUUUCCUACUAGUGUUGUUGAAAUCUGAAUACACUGUUUUUUUUUCUUUGUUUUUAUUACCCUUAGCUUCAAAGUUCAAACUUCAUUUUACUUUUCCAUAAAUAAAGAUAUUUUAUCCAUGACGAUACAUAUUUUAUUCCACAAAAGCAUAUAAACACAGUGAUAAUACCUCAAUAAUUUGAAGACUUUACGUUUUUCCAAGUGCUUUGACUUUUAACCCUUAAUUAACCAUCACAAGUCAACUUGUUUUUGUUUCUCUAGAAAGCCUUUUUUUUAGAACUCCUCUAGAAGCCUUUUGCUCAUAUAAGCUUGCAAAGAACCAAUUUAAAGUUUCGACCAAAAAAAAAAGAACCAAUUUAAAGUUACAAGUACAUGCGUAUUCGUUUAUGAGUAUUAUUAAUAAUAGGCUAACACGAUGUUAAGGAACCUAUCAAUCGUAUUUCACUUGUUUUGCAAGAAACUAAAUUACUAAACAAUACACCCAAUUUGACCAAUAUUUAUUUUACAUAAAAGAUUGGAGAAAAAACACUGUUAACCACAUACGUUUAUACAAUAAGGUCCAAAGAUUGUGACGCCACAUAAUAAGAGGUAGUGAGUUUUCUUGUUCCUUAAUCUCAGCUGCCGUGGAAAAUAAGUGUUACUAGUAAAUUCAUUAUUGAAUUUAUAAUUGCUAGAUUUAUAACAUCCCCAUCAAAUCUUUGAUUAAAUUUUGAUUUCGGGUCCAUUGAACAGGCGUCACAAGGCUCAAUAUUAAUACUGCAUGAUUGCUAAGUGGCUGCAUGUUUAAAUUAAUAACAAACCCUUUUAUCAAUUCAUUAUUGUACCCUAAGUUUGAAAUUUUGUCAUCUUAUAAUCCCUUUAAUUAAACAAAAAAAUUAUUUCGAGAUUGAUAGACGAAGUAUAUAUCAAACAUGACCCAGAAAACUAUUAAUAUCCAUAAACAUGAUAGUGGUAAAUUUUCUCCGAGGGUUGGCAAAAUUUUGUUCACCAACCAUAACAGAAUUCACUCACAAAAUUUAAUAUAUAUACCUUUCUUUCAUCUCUUUUGGUACAUAUCAUUAACUCCUAUCUUUUUCAAAAGGGUAAUAUUAAAUAGCAAGUGAUUCAACAUCCACCAAUUGUGAUUCUAUGAUUGGUAAUGCUUUUUGGACAGUAUGGAUUUGAAUAUUUAUGUUGGAUAUUUUGAUAUACUGCGGAUAUGUCUAUUCGUUUUUAUCCAGGACAUGAACGUUUAUUCGAUUGGCGAAUACUAGAUGCUAUUGCUACUCUUUUGUUAAAUUAUUCAUGCUUUGUUUUGAUCUUUAAUUUGAUCUAAAAAGAUAUGCAUGUUAAUGAUUUUUUUUAAUUGGACGAUGGCCUAUCCGUUAUCAAACUAUCAGAAUAUACUCUCUCUUUUUUUUUGAAAAAAACUAUCAGAAUAUACUUCAGUUAGACGAUACAUAAAAAAAUCAAAAUAGCAGUCUUCUCAUGUACUUAUUCAAGUGGUAUAUAUAUACUGAUAUUGACCAGUGAGAUAUUGUUCAAUAGGAUUUUUUGUGUGUAUAUAAAUGAAUUAUAAAUUCUUAGUUAAUUCACACAUUUCCAUCACCAAACAUUCGAAGUAUUUGUCUCUAGCUAUCUCGACAACAACAUAUAAUACAAUCAUAUAUAUGUACUAUACUACAAAAUCAAUUACUAGCCAAUACAUUAACUCUGUAUAUAUACGUACGUAGUACAUACAAGUCUAAUUCAGUCACUUAUUGGUUCAAAGUUUGAAAUAUUGAAUUAUUUCAUUAUUAUUGAUGACCAGAUUUUGUCUUUCUUUCUUUUUGGCAUCGACCAGGUCUUAUCACAUGCAUGCAAUAAAAGUACACAUAACCGGUCUUUCUUUCCUAUUCGUAAGUUGUCAUGCAAGUUGGGCUUCAAGCUUUCGUGAAAUCAUAUGUAAUAAGUUUAAUAAUGCAAAAAAAAGUGUAACAAUGCAUACACAUAAUACAUAUAUACAUAAAAUAGUCCAUUUUUACUACAUUAUAAUAAUUGAUUAAAAGUAUUUGCAAUGUUGUAGCCAUUACUAUACAUUUAUAUUUUUUUGCCAAAGGAUUUACUAUUUAUAUUAGAUAAGUAAAUCAUACUCCUUAAGGACCUAAACUGCGGAUCAGAUAUUAUAAAAGAUUAGACAAUAUUAGCAUUCUCGCUAGGAAUGAAAUUCUAUAGCGUCCAGUAUCAUAAAAUAAUUAUUAUUAUUAUGCGUAUAAAAUUACUAGAAAUAGAAACAUAGAAUGGCAGAAUUAAAAAAAAAUAACACACUGGAAGUAAUAAACAGUGAUAAGACAACGAUUAAUUUUAACAUAAAGCUGCAGUGGCCUAUGUAGGAUACAUUUCCGAGUUCUGUAUAAUAUAUCUAUUUUUAGACAAAAGAAUAAAAAAAAUGAUUAUAAACUGAUAAUUUAAUGCAACUCAUGCAAUCAUACUACAAAAUACAUUCCAUAUAUAUCCAUCUUAUUAUUUCAACUUAGCAAAUUCAUUAAAAAAAAUUUAAAUAGAUCAUCCAUAUUAAUGGAAUGUAAUACAAUAUUAUCAAGUUAUAUGAUCACAGCCUCAAAUCGAGAGUUAAGGGAGGGAGGAUUUGGGGGGAGAGGGAGUAAGAGACAAAGAGUCAAAGGGUGGGGGCGGCUAAGAAAACAUUAUCAUUUAUGGUGUUUAUUGUUACACAUAUAUAUGGGGAUCAUUAGGAAAAUUAUCUUAAUAAAAAAUAGAUUUCUUAAUUAAAUUAAUAAUAAUAUUGAAUCGAUCUAGAUGCUGAUGUAGAAGCAAAGACAAAGGAGAAAAACACUAGUCUCCCCCUUCUUUGUUAUUUCUAAAUCCUACUAGUAUUAUAUCACAUAAUUUAUUUCAUCAAAAUUUUCAAUUCCAUAAAGUAACUUUUGAUUCAUUUUUGUUUGUUUUAAUUCCUACUUUUGACAUCUUCAUCACAUGAAGGACUAUCUCCUCCAGCUAUUAUAUACUCUCUCUCUUCUUUUUAUUUUCUUCAUUCACAUAUACUUUUCUCCAUUACACACAUUUCCAUGUAUCUAUAUAUAAGAACCUCACACACACGCAAUCACACACCAUCCUCCUCCUUCUCCUCAUCAGCAUAACUGAGAAAGAGAGAAAGAUACAACAAGAAUAACGAAUCAAGAAGAUGGGAAGAGCACCGUGUUGUGACAAGGCUAACGUGAAGAAAGGGCCGUGGUCUCCUGAAGAAGACGCAAAACUCAAAGAUUACAUCGAGAAUAAUGGCACAGGCGGCAACUGGAUUGCGUUGCCUCAGAAGAUUGGUAUAUACCUAAAUUUACUUCUAAUUUAAAAUCUGCAGAAAAAAAUCAAUUAGUUUGAGACGGCUUGUAUAAUCUAUAGUAAACCGAAUUUUCCUGUGUAUAUUUGUGCGUUGAUAUAUAUUAUAUGUGCAUGAUAUAGGUCUAAGAAGAUGUGGGAAGAGUUGCAGACUAAGGUGGCUCAACUAUUUGAGACCAAACAUCAAACAUGGUGGCUUCUCUGAGGAAGAGGACAACAUCAUUUGUAAUCUCUAUGUUACCAUUGGUAGCAGGUACUAAAUGUUAUGUACUUAUAGGUCAAUAUCAUUAUUUAAUACACUAGUCUUGAAUUAGAUCAGAGCUAUUAUGUUUAUACAUGUUCAAUAAUUUUUUUAUUUUUAAAGGUGGUCUAUAAUUGCUGCACAAUUGCCUGGAAGAACAGACAAUGAUAUCAAGAACUAUUGGAACACGAGGCUGAAGAAGAAGCUUCUUAACAAACAAAGAAAAGAGUACCAAGAAGCUCGGAUGAAGCAAGAUAUGGUGAUGAUAAAGCGACAAGAACAAGGACAAGGCCAAAGUAAUGCUAGUAGGGAUCUUUAUUCGAACAGCAUGUUUGGAUCAUCACCAUGGCCAUUACUACCUCAGCUUCCCUCUCCUCACCAUCAAGUACCUCUUGUCAUGAUGGAACCAACAAGCUGCAAUUACUAUCAAAUGACACCGUCUUGCAACUUCGAACAAAAGCCACUGAUCACACUCAAGAACAUGGUCAAGACUGAAGAAGAACCGGAGAGAACAAACCCUGAUCAUCAUCACCCUGAAUAUUCUAUCACAAACCCUUUUGAUUUCUCCUUCUCUCAGCUUUUGUUAGAUCCUAAUUACUACCUGGAGCCAGUAGGAGGAGAAGGAGAGCUUGCGAUCACGAGUAGCAGCACCAACUCUCCAUUACCAAACACAAGUGCUGAUCACCAUCAACAACAACAAGAGAUUCUUCAAUGGUUUGGGAGUAGUAAUUUUCAGACAGAAGCAGUCAAUGAUAUGUUCUUAAGCAACAACGACAUAGCAAAUCUUGAGACCAACGAGAACACAAAAUUCUAUGGAAACUUGCCAGUGGCCGGAGCCGCAGCAGCUUUAGCCGGAGGAACGACGAGUACAUCGGCGGAUCAAAGCACAAUAAGUUGGGAGGACAUAACCUCUCUUGUCAAUUCCGAUGAUGCAAGUUACUUCAAUGGGCCAAAUCAUUUGUAACUUAAAAAUAUAUAUAUUUUUACUAAUAUAUAAAGAGGGUUUUUUUUUGUAUAAAUGUGUGUUCUAAGGGAGUGGUAAAAAACAUAUGGAUUUAGAUUAAUAUUCAUGAAGACAUUUUUUUAUUUUAGUUUCGAGUCAGCUUUAUUCACGACCAAUAUAUAUGAUCUUUUGAGUUUUUAUGAUUACUGCUUUUAUAAAUGUAAGAUACAUUCUACCUUCUAGCUUCUUUCUUUUUCCCCUUAAUUCAUUAGGUCAUUUAGAUUUUUGUAAAGAUCUUUACAGAUUACAAUACAUUUGACACAUAAAAAAAAAGAAGGAAACAACUAUGAAUCUAAAAUAGAGAGCCUAAAAGAGGAUUGUCUUUUAAACGCACCAACAUCGAUCAUCAAUUACUCAUUAUAAAAAGUUCAUAUUUUAAGUGUUAACACUUUUAAUUAUCACACAUAUACGACAAGUUCUUUUAUAUAUUAAAUAGUAAUUGUUAGGUGCCUAUAGUAUUAAUGGAGAAUCCAAGGAUGAUUUUCUUCCAUGUUUCCUCCUAUUCAACUCCACUCGUGUCUAUGUAUAUACAUGCAUGAAUUAUGAUACAUUUGUCAUUUUAUAACAGUGAAAACAUUUAUGACAGUCAAAUUUUGCCAGAUCAGGUCAUACAAAUCGACCAACCAAUUUUUCUGAUUUUGUAUAGUUAACUCACGAAUGACUUUCGAAUACUUUCAACACUUGAAUAUCGUUACUGAGACAUUUGGCAUUUUAAUCUUUUUGGUGUAAAUGUUUAAAAUGGCAUUUUAAUCUCUCACUAAGUAGCUAUGUCUGUAAUGCACACGUUUGUAUGCGCACCUUAUAUAUACGUGGUUGAGUAAUUAUAUGCAUAAUUCAUUAAAAAGAAAGAAUGCACCUACAUGGACACGUACAUGGUCGGAUCUAUAUGGCUUUGUCUAAUCGAGAUACUCCGACAAACACUCGAAUACACAUGAGUGUGUAUGCACAACUAUACUAUAUGUUAGUUUUCUUACAUAAUUAGUAUUUUAAUUGUUUGAUCGUAAAGAAACAUUAAUGUUAACAGUUAUUAAUAUAUAUAUAUAUGCAGUAUAUAUGAAAUGGUUCCUUUUUAUUAUUUUUUUUUUGUCAGCAAAACAACAAACUCAUAUAGAUUCUGUGAACCAAACUAGUAGCUCCGCAUCCAUGUGGACAACAAACGAGGGUUGCUUUAUUGCAUUGCGUGCUACACUAUCCGCCUUUGAAUUUAGCUUCUUUGGUAUAUGAAUGAGCUCUGAGCUGUGGAAACAUCUUUUUCAGGAUCUUGAUAGACUGUUAAAAAUGAAUGAAUAAAUAAAUACCUAACAAAAUGAAGAAGAACUGACCAAUUCAACGAAAGUGUCCGUAUAGCUUCGAAACUCUCUUUCUCUUUUUCUCUCUCUCUAGUCAGUUUGGUUUUGAAGAUCACAGAAUCAAAUGAUGUCAUCCAAAUUUCUCUUUCUGUGAGUUUGGCACAUAUCUUUGCCCAUUCAAACCUCCAAAUAAAAUAAUUUGAUUUCUAUCCACUUUUUCACUCCAGAUAGAUAUAGACAUGGAUUGAGCGAAAUUAGAUAGAAAAUAGUUAAGAAGAUAGCUUUAGAGGAGCCCUCCUGAACGCAACCUCCUUAAGCUUCACCAAUAUCUGUCUUCGAACCGACUUCCAAGUGCUCCACUGAGCAAUCACACAGAAAAAAUGGACGAUGGAUCUCUUCGGUACUCUAUCAGACGUCGACUCUUUAGCUUUCUCUUUUAAUUCACCGUUUUCUGUCGUUUUGGUUUCAUCCCACGAACUGAAAAUGACUUGGCCGAUGGAUUUGCAAAAGCUCAACUCUACACCAUCGUAUCCUGAACCUUUGGGUUUUAGUAGUCUUUUCUUUUAAUAGAAGUAUUAUGUUGCACAAAAAAAGAUAGAAAAUAGUUUAAUUUAGAAAAUUUCGUGUGAGUCAGCUUGUAACCGGAUCCUUAACCCGUUUCGAAUUUUAAUAUAACUAAUAUAAUUUUUAAAAAAAUAUAUAUAUAUAUAUAUAUAUAUAUAUAUAUGCAGAAAACAAGUUUUAUUAUGUUGACAGUUAUUACUAAGAUUCUUUUUUGUUAAAGAGAAACUAUUGCUAUUUUACUUGAAAAUAGUUUUUUUAAAGGAACUACUCGAAAAGUUUUUUUUUUGUUAAAGGGAUUUCUUCUACUCGAAAAGUUUUCCAUUAAAUUAGAAAAAACCUUAACGCUAUACGAGAAAUAUCACAGCAUACUUGAUCAUAUAUCAGUAAACCAACAUUUAAUAAAUAGAACUUAGCCAGUAAAAUGUCUACAUAUGCAUCAUAGACGAAACAUUCGUAUUCUAUAUUAACUUAAAACGACUAUAUGCAUAGCAUAUAACCCAGUCAAAAAGACAAUAAACGGCACUAAGUCUAAGAGAUGGUUCACGCUUCACGUUUUACUUACGCACACAUAUACAAGGCAACCUCUAUACGUUGGAACUACACCAAAAUUAUAUUUUUUAUUAAUUUAUAAAAAUAUUAAUUUAUCGAUAUAGUAAUUAAACCAAAAACUCGAUUUGAAACUAUAAAAUUAUAUUAAUUUAUAUAGAUUUUUAGUGUAUAUUAAUUUAUAAAGUAUUAAUUUAAAGAGGUUAUACUGUAUAUACAUGUAUUAUAUAUAUACUAGGUUAAGAUUCGCGUAACAUUAAAUAUAAAUUAUUUUUACGCAUUAUAUUUUUUUUACAUAUUAUAAAAUAAUAAAUAUAUAUUAAAUAUUAAAAAUUCAGUAAUUAUUACGUAUAUUAUUAAAUUAAUGCAAACACAUAAAUAAAUUUUAUUAAUCCAAACAAACACUUUUUCAUUUUAUAUGGUCUAUAAUUAAAUUUAAAUAAUAUUAACAUAGAUAUAUAAUAUAUUUUAAUAUUGAUAUUUAUUAAAAAUUGUUUUUACUCAUAUUGUUUUAUAUGGUUAAUGUGAUAGUUUAAUUUAUUUUAAUAAGUUAAAUUUGAAAAAAAUGUAGAUGAUACACUAAUUUUUAUCAAAUCUUUAUUAUUCAAAAUCAUUAAUUUUCAUAUAUAUAAUUUACCCACAUUAGGUAAUUCCAUAAUUUUUAUUUAUGGAAAUAACGAAGAACAUUAAUAAUUAAUAAAAAAACUUAUUAUAUAUUUAGAUGGAGCAACUUUUUUUCUAAAAAUUUUAAAAAUCAGUGUGGUGAUGACACAUGACUACCUCAAAUGUUAUAAUGUUUCUCUUUUAAUAUAUAAAUGAUAUAUAUAUAUAUUUUUAUUUUUAUUUUUUUGAUCAAAUAUAUAUAUAUAUAUAUAUAUAUGAUGCUUUAUAACAGUGAUCGUACAAUCGUUCUGUGUACAUAUCUAACAGUCCACUACUUUUAAAACCUUUUAAGUUUUAAUCUAGAAAACGACAUAUUAUACAUGGUUUAUUCAGCUGUGCUUGAUUGAUUACUACUAUACGUAAAUAUAUAAUAGUUAAGAGGAAGGAAUGUUUUUGUUUAUCGCAAUUUUGUACGUACAUACACUUGAGGACAAUAGAAUAAAAGUCUGUUCUCAAGGAAUAAUUGAAAAACUGGUCUCUGAAAGACAAGUCAUUUUGUAUGUUCCAAACAUUCUCUACAAACAGGAAAACGACAACUCUUAUGUAAAUUAUCCGCCUCUAAUCAAUACAUAACUUAAAUCCAAAUUAUGCUAUUACUAAUUUAAUUAAUUAAUCAUAAUAUUGGGAUGAAAAUUAGGAGAUUCUAGAGAUAGUGAUGAAGAUUAUGUAUGUAAGCACUUGCAUCACUGGAUAGCAAGACGUGUCAUGGCUUCUUCUUUUUUUGUCACUGAGACGUGUCAUGGCUUGUAUGCUAUACCGUAUAGCUUAGCCAUAUCACCUUUUUAGUUUUAUUAAAGCAAUCCUCAUCUCUCUACCUAUCAAAAAAUAAUUAUGGUAUAUUGGUAUAUACAUAUAUAACAAGUUAAUAUAUAUAUAUAUAUAUAUAUAUAUAAACAUCAUUCAAACUAUGCACAUAAAGAUAUAAACAUGAAUAUACAUUAAUAUAUUUAUAGCCAUCUUGGGUAAAAAGAUAAAACAAUAUAUGAAAAGAAGGAAAAAGGAAUAAUUAUCGUUGAGAAGAAUUCAAGGAACAAAACGAUAUAUGAAUGAGGGAGGCUAUUGAUACAUGAAUAUACGGACUCCUUAUGAUUAAUAAUUAAAUUAAUUGAUUAAUGGUACAUUCUGUCAAACCUCUAGACGAUAAGUAAAACAACACCAUAUGAAACCUUGAUUAGCCUCGCGACAAUUCGCCCCGCGACGACCUUAUUGUAUAUUCUUAUAGUUUAUUUCAUUUGUUUAACCAUUAAAAUUGGAACAUUGUCAAAAAGAACCCAACGUACUAAAUAAUUUUAUAAAUAUAUAUAAUGCAGCUGAUGCUGACACUCACUAACACGUUAAUAUUAUUCACCCUGACUGUUUCUAUUUUUAUAAUGACAAUCAUCUUUCAACUUUGUGUUUUUGUUUUUGUUUUUAUUACAUAAAAUAAUGAAAUGUUGUAUUGUGGGAAUGGGAGUAAUGUCGCGUCGUCUGAUUGUUUUAUACGUGUUCUUAACUUUUAAUUAAUUAAUUAAUUAUAUUGUUUUCAUGAGAUUUGGCUAUUUCUUGUUAUCUGCUUAUGGAGAAAAAAAGAUGGAUACGGGAAAAUUUCCACUACUUUUAAAUAAAAUACUGAAAUAUUAUUUUCACUAAUUAUUUUCGCAAUAUCUUUCUUACUAUUUUUAUUAAUAAAAUUCAGAUCAAAAUAUCCAAUAAAUUUGUCUUCGAGUCCAACGCUUCCUUUCGCUUCAAACCAAUAGUAAAGCCCAUUAAAGCCAUGUAAAUGGAAAACAUAUAAGCACAUUCUUAGAUAUGAACAAAAUGUGUCUUGUGAGGUCCAUAAAAGCCCAUUAGUGACGACAAAAAGACCCCACUGGUGACUAGUUAAAGUAAAGACUCAAGUGGUAGUUUUGAAUUUGAGAAUUAAGCAUCAUAUGUCAUUAAUACUUAGAUUGAAAGGCAGGAAGAGCCGACUAAAUUUAUUAUCUUUGUAAGAACAAUAAAUAAAAAGUCAAAUAAUAAAAAUAAAUUAAAAGGAGAUUAUUUAGGAGUAACAAAGGUUCAAAAAUAUGGGAAGAAGAGAUGAACAUUGAUAAACUACAUGAGCAUUAAUCAAUCGUUUUAUAUUAUAAUUCAUGCCGGUGCAUCUAAGCCAAAGAAACAAAUCUUUGUGUGAUUUGGUUCUUGUUUGUUAAGUAACAAAUGUGCGAUGAAUCUUCUUGAUCGUGCACAUAUUAAGUAGAUGAAUUUACGAAGCACCAACACUAAUUAAAGCUAAAUGACUGUAAUAAAAUAUAACAAAAUUGGAAAUAUGCUCGUCUCUCAAUCUUCUUAUAAGCUAAAUGACUUCCCGAUUCAUAAGCUAUGCAUCAAGUACGAGAAACGUUAACGUGACCCACAUGCCACACUAAAGCUGAUAUAAUAUUUAAAGUUUUAAUUCCGUUUCUUUCACUAUGUGUCUAUGUUUAUGCAUGUGUUAUGUGUAAUGCAAGUAGCAAUGCCAUGCAUAGAUGGCCCCCUCAUGCAUAUAUGAUGGACAUCAAACGGUUCCACGCGUAUAUGUAGUUUCUAAUCCAAAUGAUUUGCCCUAUUUGUAAAGCAUAUGCAUUUUGAUCACUAUAUGUGUAUAUAUGUAGGAGAUGUUAUAUCUUUUUGUGUCAUGGCAUGUGCAGUUCUAUGGCCUUACUCAUGAAGCCCACGUGACUCAAAGCUUGGUUCAAACUCUGGAUGUUACAUAAGCAAUACGUUGAUACAGAAAUUCAUUUAUAUAUUAAAAGAAUUUGGGUCCUAAGUCCUAACCAAACUGAAUAUGAUUCAAAGCCCUUGAUGAGUUAAGAAACUCGACAGGUAACAAGUAUGAGGCCGUCCUUACGCUUUAUAUUAUCGAAUCUAUCACACGUCAUGAAAGUUGAAUCCCCUUAAAACCGUUUGAAGAAAACUCCACUCAAUAUAUAAUUUGUUAAGUUUGCUCAUUUUAACAUUCAUUUUUAAAAUAAUUUUUUUUUGUUGCCCAUUUUAGUUAAUUGCCUGCGCUCAAAGUUCUUGACUAUGAGUCUUUACUGGUGGAACUGAUUUUCAGAUUAUUAAGUUUCAUGACAUUAAAUUAAGUUUAUUUAAAUUAAGUUUAUUUAUUUACUUAGCGACGUUACAUUAGGUUUACACUAUUCUUGGAAUCAACAUUGACGUAUUAAUUUAAAACAGUUCAUAAAUUUUAACAUCAUAACGAUAUACCAUUAAAAAAUUAUAUAUGAUUAGUUUGCAACUAAUUAAGUUGACGUACCGAUUUAAUUCUUAUAAUAUGAUAUUAUCAUUCCAUGUUGCUUAAUAUUAUUUUGCGAGUAAAGACCAUGAUAAACGAUGAAAGUUUCUGGUACAACGACUACAUAUAAAUCUCAGUUUGUAUAGUUAUGGUCGGUCAUAUGCAAUGAAGACUUUUAAGUACAUGACUUAAUCAAUAUUACUCAUCACGGAUUCUCAAAUCCAACCAAAUUCAAGGACCUCAUGUGUAGAUGGCUUAUCUGAUCCUUUGAGUUCACUCAUAGGAUCCAUCUUGGACCUCUUCCGAGCUCCUUCUUGUCUAAGUUUAUCAAUCCUCUGUUUUGUAUAGAUUAACUACAUUUGUAGACUAAUCUUUCAUUUUUAAUGAUAUUCACAUAUUUAGCAAAAAAGAAAAUCCAACCAAAUUCUCAAUCUAUUAUUUCUCAAAGUACAUAUACGUAUAUCGAUUACAUUUUUAAUCGAAAUCCCUUUCUUAUUAUUUGAGGAGCAUUAAAAAUAAAUAACCUUUAGUUCAUGUGUUUAUUACAAGUGUGCCAUUUCUUAUGUGGCAACUCCACAAGCUCUCUCACCUAUUCUAUUUAAAACUCUUUUGUUAACUAGAGUAAUUACACAACAUGCCAUUGAUCAAAACAUUAUAAUUACUUUAGUUUUGUCUACAUUUGUCACAUAUAUACGUUGAUACGUAUUACAUCAAAUCUUAUCAUUUAUUUCUUGCGUUAGUUACCUUAACCGAAGUUCUACGUAUUAUAUCAAAGAUUUUAAAAUUAUGUUAAUUACCUUGACUGAAGUUUUUUCAUUAAUUUGUUUCAAUACAAAAAAAUUACUGACAUACGUAGUGGUCUAAUUUUUUAUUCAAAAAUAAAUAUAGAUGCGAAAAAUUAAUGUGCAAUUAUCAACCAAAGUUUGUUUUUCUGUAAAAUCCUAAAAGUAUUUGAUGAUCAAUACGUGCUCAAGUGAUUGAUUUUCUUAAAAAUGCGAAAAAAUAUUUGUUCUCUUAAAAAUAUAUCAAGAAAAAAAAACUUUUUUUCUUAAAAUAAUGAAACAGAAGAACCAUGCAUAUGACAUAUACUUGCCCCGUUUCAUUAAAUUGUUAGAUGAUCUCCGCCUUGCGAUUGUAGAAACUAAGGUACAAUACGAUUUUCUGGCAUACACAUAUAAAAACUUACCUUAGGUGAUCUAUCGUAAUUAAGAUUUUAACGCCAACUUGCAUAAUGCAAAUAAUGGCGGAGCAAAUUGCCCAUGAUUCAAAUGUUAUUUGCAAGGACGAAAUUGAUUGAUGAUUGGGAAAAAGAAAACUUCUAAUAACUUUGACAUAUUUUUAAAUUACAAAUUUGGUAAACUGAUGGUAAUAAUACGUGAUUUGCAAGGACUUGACUUUUAUAUAUAAGGAACGUAGAUUAAGGUUCAAAUGAUUGUAAUCAAUUAAUAAUCGUGAAUUUUUUUGAAUUUGUUCAAUUGCGAUUGAUAAAAGAAAAUUUGCAUUAACUAUUUACAAUAUUAAAGUAAUUCUCAACUAAGAUUGGAGCGCAAGUUAUGUGUAAUAUUCGAUUUAGUUACGACCAUUAUUUUGAAUCUAUAUGACCACACGGCGAUUUCUUUUUAGUAUAAAUAUACGGCUUCUAUAAUUCAGAAAACUCACCACACUUUUCUUCUCGACUUUGCUCAUAUCAAAACAUUCUCUCAAGCAAUCAAAUGGUUGGUUUUAACUUUGUUUCCGAUUUGAAACCAUUCAAGACAUUGUUUCUUUUAUAUUUUAUUAGUCUAUUGUUUAUGUUUUGUUUUAUUUUAUAUUUAUAAUUUAUUUUAUGCAAAUAAAUAUACAAUUUUUAAACAAAAUUUUUGCAGCUUAAUUUAGAUUGACAUAUUAAAUUUCGUCUAACCCUUACUUUAUAACAUAUAGUAUUUUUUGCUAUGACUUUAAUUUUUAUUAUGUCUACAUAUUAAAAGUGUAAUAUUUUGAAAUCUAUUUAUUCCGCGCAGAGCGCGGGUUAUCACCUAGUAUUUAUUAAUUCAGACAGACAGAUUUUUUUGGGGACUCAACCACCAAGUUAAUGCUCUUCACAUGUAAGGAUCAUUUGCCGUUACGGCCGGUAUAGCCGCGUAUCAUGGUCAAGUUAAAUAAAAUUUCGGUUAGUAAAGUUGUAUUUAUAUAGUUCGUAGUCUUCGUAGUAGUACCAGCAAAGCUCAUGGCAUUUGCGAUUUAUAUAUUAUUUAGUAGUAUAUAUUUUAUAUAUAUUCUAUCCUAUAGUAGACGUAGAACAUGUUUAUUACAUCUUUCUUAGGUUCGGGUUCUAAGUUAAGAUACGGUCUCUUAGCUCUUAAAUAAAAAGCUAAGAAAUGUUUCUUAAAUGAUAAAUAUAAAAGAUGUCUCUUAACUUUUUUUAGUUAAAAAAUAAGAGACCGUAUCUUAUAUUAUGCUAAGAACUUCAAUUUAAGAGACCUGCAAUAAACAUGUCCUUGGCAUCAUAAUCUUUGACCAGUAUCUUAUAUAAUGAUUAGCCUAUGAUACGACACUUUGUCCUACUUUAUUAUCCAUCCUGAAAUAAAUUACACAAAAUAAAGAAAAUGGUUAUAGUGCAUUUUCUCUUUAAAUGAUUGGAGACUUAAAUUUCUAACAUUUCCCAAAUAAUUGAUUUAGACAUUUAGUAAUUAUGAUUGGAAUUGCAUUUAUAUUUUUUAAAUAUCUAAUCAUUGGACCAUGGUAUUUGUUAGCAUCGCUUUAAGAGUCGAUCAUUGUAUAGGUUUAAACAGUUGUAAAAUGAUCCAAUAUAUGUUUUAAAUGGAUUGGAGUACAGAUCGAUUGUUCAUCUUAUUAUUUUGCUAUAUCAAUCUUUUUUUUUCUUUUUACUUAAUCGUAAGGACUUAGCAAAAUAAAAAGUUAAAUUACGGAUUUCGUUAAUCGUAUGUACAUCAAUUGGCACAAUUUUAAAUUUUCUUUAUAUUCUGACAAAAUUUAGACUAUGUUUCUAUAUGUUGUAGAAAAAUAAAAAUACUGCAUCUUGCAAAUUGUUUGGGCUUCCCUUGGUGAUCUAUUUGAAGAAAAAAAAUGAUAAUCUUUGAAUUUUUCACUAUUCACAAGAUUUUUUUUAUUUUAAAAAAAAAGACUUUUUCAUUCCUUCAGACUUGAUUAUAUCAGUUACAUUAUUUAAGAAAAAUUCAUCAUCAUCAAGUUUGAAAAAAUAAUCAUCAAAAACAUUUCUUUUAUUUACGCAAUUCAUUUAUAUUCGUAUGGUAAAUCUUACAAUAUCAUGUCAAUAUCAUUGGCAUUUGAUGACGGAUACAUUUGUAAUCUGAUCCAGAUUCACUAGGAAAAUCUUUAAGGCUCCAUGAACUACUGAUUUAAGUGAUGUCCCUAUAAGAGGGAUCCAAAAUAAGUUAAUACAAAAGGUUAGGAAGUAAGAAAACCAAAUAUGAACUAUGACUAUCACCUUCUGGAAUCCAAGCAAUUAUCUUGAAAAUAUCUCAUAGAGUAAUGCCUAAAUGAGGUAGAUUAAUUUUUUUUUUCUGGCCAAUGGUAAACAGAAUAGUCUUUUUGGUAACACAUAAGUUCGACAACUUAGUUUUAUAGUAUUUUUUGUUUUUAAAAAGGUUUGUAAUAUUUUAACAUAGAUUAGAUUAGGUUAAUUUAAUUAAUAUUCUUGGUCGUUGGUAUUCAAACUUGUGACCUGAAAAGAAAAGUUAAUACAUAAUACAUCACCUAGUGAAUCUAGUUUGGUUUAAUAGAAAAGUUAGAACACUUCCAUUGGUUAGAGUCCAUAAAAUUUUCUUUAAAAAAACAUUAGUAUUAUAAUCAUUUAUUUUUGUUUCAUUUUCUUAAAACUAGAUAAAUCAUUUAUUUUCUUUGGUAGCAUGACAUAUGUCCUUAAAUAUGUAGACAGAUUCUGAAAAGCUCUAAAUUAAGAACUUUUGCCUUUUCUAUCUUAAUUUUAUUAUCUUUUUUUUUUUUAAUAUCGAGAACUCCUCCUGAUACUUGUUGGAGAUUCUCUUAGUUUAAUGACUAUAAAUUUGUGUUCAAGAAAACAAGAUGUGACGUGGUAAGACUGGCUUAUUUCCGUUAAAUUUGAUUCCAUAUGUUUUUUGUAUUGUUUCGAUCCAAAAUAUAUAGAUAUAUGUAAAGUUCUGGAGCAAAGCAAAUAUCAAAAUGUGAUAUUCAUAAACAACAAAGAAAAACAACAAAUAAUAUUUUUGAAAAAGCCAAAUAUCCUAUUCAAUCCGUAAGUUUAUAGAUAUAUAAUAUAUGUUAUGUAUAUUUAUACAUUUUAUAGUGUAAAUUUGGUCAGUUUUGAAGUUGUUUUCAUGUUGUUUUCAGUAUUGAGUUGCAUACCAAUAUGAUUUUUUAUUUGAGUCAAAUGCUUACAUAUGUUUUAUAUUAGACUCGUUUACAUUGAAUUAUUUGAUUUGUUUGAUAAUUUAUGUUAAAAAUGUUAAUUUAUUAAUUUAAUCAUAUUAUAAAAAGUGACAUUGAUUUUUUUUUUUGCUUUGUAAAGAAUAAUAUAUGUUUAUUCAAAAUUUUGACAUAAAAUAUCUAAUAUAAUUAACAAAUAAAAUCGAAUCGCAUGAUCCACAAAUAUUUAGAAAAAAUGAAUAUUCGAGUAAAAUGGAACAGGUCACGGAUACUCGGAUUUUUUCGGACAAAAUCUUAUGCAACGUAACGUACCAAAGUCAAAGGGUUAGUCCAAGACUUUAACAUAAUGAGUUAGGCAUCCUUGAUAUUUGCCUUCACUAACGUCCUUUACUAACGUUAACGAUCAUUACAGACUCAUUGUCGUCAAAGAAGAAAUAUAUAUCACAACUGAUUCAGAAAUUAAUCAAAAUUAAAGAAGCACAUUUUUGAGAAAGGGUAGAAGCACAUACUUUACGAAAUCAAAUAAAUAUUAUAUAUUAAAAGAGUGAAUUAAUUACACAAUACAUGCAAACUUUUGAUUAAAAUUACAACGGGAUACAUAUUUUAUAUAUAUUGCCACUGCAAAUCCACAUUCGGACUGAGUGCAUUUUUAAACACGUAUAACCAACACUUAUAGUAACAAUUUACACCCGAACGAAAAAUUGCAUAAAAACUCACUCAGACAUUUAUGAAUAUUACACUUAUAUAAUGAUAUUAUAUAUAUCUUGGAAAAUGAAAAAUAUUUUUCCAAAAUAUAAAAAAAAUGAAGGAUAUAAAGAAAAGAAAAAACCUUGAAGCUUUUUUGUUUGUCGUCUCAAGCUUAGGGAGAUGAAUAAAUCAUCGCUCAUCAGGUACACGGUCGGACCAUGAAACCCGGAAAACCCAGUUAGAGACUGUCUUCUUCCUCAAACUCUUGAGCCUUUCAUGGCUGCUUCUUGAUAUCAUCCGUCCACAGUCUGUGGACUCUACGAAUGUUUUGAGCCUCUUCAAGGCUAAAUCGAGUGUAUCCUCGCUCAUAUUAGCGAAACAAACCCUAAACCAACCCGGCUCGGUGCAGUGACAGGACGAACCGGGCGAGAUGUUUAGUUUCACGUUGUAGACAAUCUUUUUCCAGAGGUCGAGCUCUGCUUCGAAUGUGUUUGUGUCCAAGAGGUGUCUCAUGUCGACCCAACAGAACAAACCGGCGUUGCUUCUCAGGCAAGUAAUCCCUGCGGACUCAAGACCAGACACUAGGCGUUUCUGUCUGGACUUGAGCCGUUUCUGAUUCUCCUCGAGGUAUUGGCUUGUGAACUUCUUGUCUGAGAGCAAUGCAGAGAGAAGGUACUGAGUCUGAGAAGAGACAAGACCGAAACUCGACAUUUUUGUCGCGGCAGAUACGAUCAUGUCGUCGUUAGAGUAGAUCGCUCCCACGCGGAAACCAGGAAGUCCAAGAUCCUUGGAAAGGCUAUAAACGACGUGGACUCUUUUAGAAACCUCGGUGUUUUCAAGUUUCUUGUCUUUCAAGACAUCCAUCACGCUGAUGAACUGUUCGAACCCGAACAUAGUGCCUGAGUAGAUCUCGUCGCUAAUGAGAUGAAUGUUCUUGGAAGUGAUGAAGUCAACGAGAAGGUUGAGCUCACGUCUGGUCAACGCAGUGCCAAGUGGGUUAGAUGGGUUGGUGACAAGAACUCCUUUGACUUUGAGACCAAGCUUAUGGGCUUGUUGGUAAGCUUGUUGUAGAGCUGAUUCCGUGAUUUGGAAGCCAUUAGAGCUUGAGCAGUGGAUUGGCACAAUCUCAGCUCCAGUUCUCCAUUUAAGAUCUCUAUCAAAUCUGUAAUAUAUCAUCAAAAAGCCAAAACGUAAGCAAAGAGUUUUAAUGAGUUUACUUGGAAACCAAGUAAAGUAGGGUUAUAAUUAUAACUUACCCAGGAUAGUAAGGAGUAGGCAAGAGGAAAGCAUCGCCAGGCUCAGCAAGACAAAACAUGAGAGUCUCGUUCGCAGAGGUCGAACCGGCGGCUAAAACAAUCUUUUUCGGGUCGAACGUGACUCUAUUUCCUCUUAUCUCUUCCAUAAACUCAGCCAUUGCCUAAAGAAACAGAAUAUAUUCAUGAGAAUAGAGAAAAUGAUAUGUUACUUUUGAUGCAAGUAUUAGGUUAAUAUAUUUAUCUAUUUUAAAGAAUACAAAUGAAGCUUACUUUUUUGAAUUCAGGCAUGCCGUGAUAGUCUUGAAAGAGAGCAAGCUCUUUGAAAAUGGAUUGACCUUUCCUCUUGAGACUAGCUGCGUCUGGGUUCUUAGCUAACCACGACUCGAUUAAAUCGAAGCAUAGCUGAUUCUCAGCAAGACCCAUCUGGAUCAUACCAUUAGGGUUCUUGAUCUCAUCGUAAGGAUUCUUCUCGUACUCUUCCCAUCCCAAGAAGUAGGAUGAGUCUUGUCCAUGACCAUUGCUUGUCACUUUUGUCGAAAGCUGUUUCAUCUUUUCUGAUUUUAAGUCAAAGAGAUUAUGGUCGAAAAAAAGAGAGACAAAGAGAUCUUGAUUUAGUGUUUAAGACUUUAAGCUGUUGAAAAGUGAUGAGAUGUGUUUGGAGAAGCAAUGGGUAUGUUGAGAGGUAUAUAUAGAUAAACAAUCUUACGACAUUUUAUCCCAAGAAUAAUAAAGUGUGACAAUAGAAUCAGAAACUAGUUAGACUUUUUUGACCGCCCAGACAUAAACAUAGUUUUAGUAAAUGUUGGUUAAGACAUGUGAGGCAACUUCUUUUUUAUUGUUUUUUUAAUAUGACUCUAAUAAAUCAAUCUGCUAUUAUUUGCAAUUGUUCUUUAAAAAUAAGUCACCCAUCAUUAAUCGUGCAUUCACACAUGACACAUACAACAAUAAAUCUAACUCUAAGUACUGGAUGUUUUCAAAAACUUCCAAUACUAUACAUACAAAAUUGAAUGACACAUUUUGAUAUUAAUGCCCUAAUUUAUCUGUUCGUUUACUAAGAUCAUUAUGACGUAUUAAACUAAUGAAAGUUAAAUGAUUAGCCUUUACGCGUUUCCAGUCACCGCCGGGCCGUCCUUAUAAUGACCAUCCUCUAGGGACUAAACAUGACAAUUAAAAAAGCAAACUCAUAUGCCAUUAAUGGUUUAAUUGUGAAAUUUGAAUUUAUUAUGAUUGUUAUUUAAUAAUCCACUCAUGAAGUCAGCAAGAAAAAAAACCUUUAUGAGGAUGAUAAAAUUUCGUGAGAGUGUGUAUAUCCUAUUUUUUUCCAUUACUAAGGCCAUGAUUAACACCAACUUUUAAUAAGGUUCUUAAAGGGUGGGGUCUGCAUAUAUCUCUACUAAUAAAAGGGAGCUUUUGAGGCUCCAUAGGGCGUCCACAUCAGCGGAAAAAAUUUAUCCCGAGAGAUGACACGUGGCAUAAAAUAUAGUUUUACAUUUUAAUAUUAAUUAUUUUCGAAAAUUGUAAAAAAUAUGUAAACAUACAGCAUUAAAAAAUGGAAAAACUAUAUUAAACAUAUGUAAGAUUACUAUUUUUCACUUAAAAAAAAAGACGGCUUAUCUCCAUAUUAAUGUAACAUUACCGUUUUAUAAAAAAAAACAAAAAACUCUACUAAUAAAAGGGAGUUUUUGAGGCUCCAUAGGGCGUCCACAUCAACGGAAAAAAUUUAUCCCGAAAGAUGACACGUGGCAUAAAAUAUAGUUUUACAUUUUAAUAUUAAUUAUUUUCGAAAAUUGUAAAAAAUAUGUAAACAUACAGCAUUAAAAAUGGAAAAACUACAUUAAACAUAUGUAAGAUUACUAUUUUUCACUUAAAAAAAAGACGGCUUAUCUCCAUAAUGUAACAUUACCGUUUUAUAAAAAAAACAAAAAACAUUAUAUAUAAUUUCGAAAAUAAUAAAUAUAAGUAAAACAUACAACAUAAAAAUAGAAAUACUACAUUAAACAUAAAUAUGUUUGACUAUUUGUCCAAGUUCUUCUAUUAAACAUUGCCGUUUUACAUUAAAAAUAGAAAAAUACGUAAAGAUUUAAACAUCUAUCUUAAAAUAUAAAAUAUAGACAUUAACUAAAUAUAAAGUAUAAAAAAGAGAAAUAUUCAUCUCUACUAAUAAAAGGAAGCUUUUGAGGCUCCAUAGGGCGUCCACAUCACCGGAAAAAAUUUAUUCCGAAAGAUGACACGUGGCAUAAAAUAUAGUUUUACAUUUUAAUAUUAAUUAUUUUCGAAAAUUGUAAAAAAUAUGUAAACAUACAGCAUUAAAAAUAGAAAAACUACAUUAAACAUAUGUAAGAUUACUAUUUUUCACUUAAAAAAAAAGACGGCUUAUCUCCAUAAUGUAACAUUACCGUUUUAUAAAAAAAAAAACAAAAAACAUUAUAUAUAAUUUCGAAAAUAAUAAAUAUAAGUAAAACAUACAACAUAAAAAUGGAAAUACUACAUUAAACAUAAAUAUGUUUGACUAUUUGUCCAAGUUCUUCUAUUAAAUAUUGCCGUUUUACAUUAAAAAUAGAAAAAUACGUAAAGAUUUAAACAUCUAUCUUAAAAUAUAAAAUAUAAACAUUAACUAAAUAUAAAGUAUAAUAAAGAGAAAUACUCAAUAUAUAAAAAAUAAAAAUAAUAAGUAAAUAUUAUAAAUAUAUAAAUAUAUGAAUUAUAUAUACAAUAAUAAGUAAAUGCACAAUUUUUUAAAAAUGGAAAGAGUAUAUUAAAUAUUAAACAUCUAUCUUAAAAUGUAAAAUAUAGAUAUUAAGUAAAUAGAAAAUAUAAGAAAAAGAAAUACACAACUUAAAACAAUGGAAAAAGUAUAUUAAGAUUUAAACAUCUAUCUUAAAAUGUAAAAUAUAGAUAUUACGCAAAUAGAAAGUAUAAGAAAAGGAAAUACACAAUUAAAAAAAAUAGAAAAAGUACAUUAGUAUUUAAACAUCUAUCUUAAAAUGUAAAUCAAUCUUAAAAUAUAAAAUUAUUAGUAAAUAGAAAGUAUAAGAAAUAGAAAUACACAAUAUAAAGAAAAAUAAAUAAUAAGUAAAUAUAUAAUAUAAGUGAAUACCAAAUUUAAAAAAUGGGAAAUUACAUUAAGAUUUAAAAAUAUAUAUUAAAAUUUAAAAUAUAGAUAUUACGUAAAUAGAAAGUAUAACAAAUGGAAAUAUACAAUUUAAAAAAUGGAAAACAUACAUUAAGAUUUAAACAUCUAUCUAAAAAUGUAAAAUAUAGAUAUUAAGUAAAUUAAAAGUACAAGAAAUGGAAAUACAUAUAAAUGAAAAUAAAUAAUAAGUAAAUAAUGUAAAUAUAUAAUAUAUGAAUUAUAUAUGUAAUAAUAAGUAAAUACACGAUUUUUUUAAAAAUGGAAAAAGUUCAUCAAGCAUUAAACAUCUAUAUUAAAAUGUAAAAUAUAUAAUAUAAGUAAAUACACAAUUUAAAAAAUGGAAAAAGUGCAUUAAUAUUUAAAUAUCUAUUUAAAAAUAUAAAAUUUAGAUAUUACGUAAAUAAAAAUAUAAGAAAUGGAAAUAAACAUUUUAAAAAAUGGAAAAAGUACAUUAAGAUUUAAGUAUCUAUCUUAAAAUGUACUUCUAUCUUUAAAUGGUAGUAAAUUAUAUAAAAAUGGAAAUACCACAUUAAACAAAAAAAAAAUGUAUAGUUUUACAUCAAGAAAGUCCCUAUAAAACUCAUUAUUCCAUCCACAUCAACCUCACACUAUUAAGAAAAAUUUCAAAGCACUCGAGCAAAAAAAUGGUUUCACUAUCAACUCUUGCCGUCCCAGAAACCUUUAAUGACAUUGAAUGAGAUUUUUUUAUAACAACAAACUUUUUGUUAGGUGGAUUCAUUGUUGGGAAACCCGCAACUUCCAAAAGCCAAACUUAUUCAUGGGAAUUGAAUUGCUUUUCAUAGACUCAAAUGUAUUCUUACAAAUUUAAAUUAAUCUAAUCUAUAAUUUUAUUGUUAAUAUUCAUACUGACUCUUUCAUGAUCAAACCAUUUCAGUUGAUAACCAUUCAAGCGUUUAUCCCGAAACACUUCAUUCCUCGCCGAAUUAGGUAUUGGUUCAUGUUGGUUUAGUAUUGUUUUUGGUUUACUAACCGGUUUAUGAUGGUCUUAUUGUAAAUAUAAUUUAAGUUGGUUUAGCAUAUAUUAUGUUUAAAAUAACUUAAAUUAAAUAAUAAUAAUAUUAUGCUUAAAAUAUAAUUUUAGAGAGUUUUAAAAUAUAGUUUACAGAACAUUAUAGGUGAUGAAUUUAAUUUAUUAAAUUCGUUUAUUACUUAAAACUAAGUUUUUUAAAAAACAUACUGAGUUAUAAAUAUUAAUGAUGGAUUGGUGAGUAUAACAUGAAGACAAAAAUAUAAAUAUCUGAUUUUCAAAAUAAGAAAUUCAGCUUUUAUUCAGAUACUCAAUAUAUAAUAUCUUAAAUUAUGUUUUAAAAAAUAUACAUAAUUUAUAUAUAUAGAUUAAUUUUCCAAACUUAAACUAUUAUAUUAUAUAUGAAUAAUGUUUUUAAAUAAAAAUAAUUUCUGAUUUAAAAUAAAAAUAAAAACAACAAAUGUUUAUUUUCAAAUAAUGGAUGUAAUUUACAUUAUACUAUCAUUUAACAAGUAUUAGAUACGUUUUGAUAUAUCAUUAUUUUCUAUUCCCAGAAAACAAUAAAUUGUUAAACAUCAAUAUCAUCUAGGUUAAGUAUACGAACAAUAAAAUUUCAAACAUCACAAAAAAUAUUUACAUAACCAUUAUAAUACAAUAAUUUAAUCAAAAAUACAAUUAAAAAAUAUAUUAAAAAGAAUAGUUAUAUACUUAAUAUUUGAAAAUAAAAGAUAUUUUUGCUAAAAUUGUACCUACCUGGCCAAGGAGAUCGACCAUCUUUUUACGGAUCGAUCAAAUGUUGAGCAUGUGGUCGAUCCAAAAAUACUCUGCAGUUUAAUAAAAUCUCUAAACAUUUAUUCCAACACUCAAAAGAUAGUUUUGCUAAAUAUGAUAACUAAAUAGCCAAUAAAAUUACAAAAAAAUAUUUAAAUAGUAAAAAAUAUGUUAAUUUAACGUGUUAAAAUUUAAAAUAAAUUUUAAUUAUAACAUGCAUUUUAACAUUUAUAUAAAUAUAAAUCAUAGCCUAAAUAUAAAUAAUUUAACAAAUUAAAUUAGAAAAAAUAAAAAUCCCGGGCGUAGCCCGGGUUAAUCCCUAGUCUAUACUAUACUAAAAGGGGAUAUAAGCCAUGGAGAGAGUGUCCACAUAGGAUAGAAAAAUCAACCAAUCAGAAAAUCCGAAAUUGCCAUGUCAUCUCAUUUAUUUUUCGUAAAAAAUAAAAAAACAAUGCGAAGGUGAGAAUCGAACCCGGGUUAGUAUGAUAUAUAUAUAUAUAUAUAUAUAUAUAGGACAGUUACCACUAAGUCAUUGAAACUUUCUUGGACACGUAUACAAGAACCACUAAGUAUAUAAUCACAAAUUCUUAUGUACAUUUACAAUAAUAUGAAUUCAACUUUCAAGACUCCGAUACUUUGUUUUGUAAAAAAAAAUAAGUAAGUGACUAAGCUAAUAUAUUCUUAGAAAGUGUGGGAACGUUGACAAAUAUGAAAAAACAUAGAUUUUUGUUUUCGUGACAAAGUUAAGAAUUUUGUAAAAGUAAGUUUAACAUAUAAAUUUUCGUGACAAAUAUGAAAAAACAUAGAUUUUUGUAAAAUUUUGACAAAACAACUCAUAACAUACUUCUCUAAUGUCUUAAUAAAAUAUUAUUUAAGGGUGCAAUAAUUAAAUAUAUUAAUUCAAUAAAUUUUGUAAUUUAUAGACAAAACAAUAACACAACAAAUUUUGAAACAUUUGUUUAACCUAUCAAUUUUUUUUUCAUGAGAAUCCAACUAAACAAGAUAAAAAUAAUAAUUAGAUUUAACAAAUAUUUAAUUACCAUUUUAUUCAAUUUUUAUUAAUUUCAAAUUAUCAUAAUGUAUCUUUUUGAAGUUACAAAUAUGAAAAAGCAUAGAUUUUUGUACAAUUUCACAAAACAACUCAAAACAUAUUUUUAUAAUGUCUUAAUAAAAUAUUAUUUAAGGAUGCAAUAAUUAAAUAUAUUAAUUCAAUAAAUUUUAUAAUUUAUAGACAAAAAAAUACCACAACAAAUUUUGAAACAUUUGUUUAACCAAUCGAUUUUUUUUUCAUGAGAAUCCAACUAAACAAUUAGAUUUACAAAUAUUUAAUUACCAUUUUAUUCAAUUUUGAUUCAUUUUAAAUUGUAAUAAUGUAUAUUUUUGAAGUUACAAAAAAUAAUGUUCUUUCUUUAUUACACUAGCAUUAUAUAUAGAUUCUAUAUACACAAAAUAAAUAUAAUAUAACAACAUAAACUUGCUUUCCCCGAUUCAUAUGAAAACCUUUUAAGUUAUCCACCAAAGCAAAUUAAUUAAAUCAAUGAAAUUGUUAAAAUACAGCAAAUUAAUGUAUAAUUUUAUUUUAAAUUAAAUUAUUUAAAAAGUGUAUUUUCGUUAAAACAAAAUAAUAAAUAAGUAAAACUGAUUUGAUGGUAAUUUUUAUGAUAUAUAUAUAUAUAUCAACUCUGUGAAAGAAAUAGAAGCUUAAUAUGGAAAAAAAUCUUAAAUACAAAAACCUCUAAAAAUUAACAAAAAAACUAAUAAAUUAAACUAUGAUAUCACUUAAAAGCUUCUUUGACCAUAUUAAUAAAAUAUUUAAGCGAUAAUUAGAUAAAUUUGAUUUUUUUUCCAGCAACAAGUUUAUUAUUAAUUAGCAUCAGUUAUUUCAAGAUGUUUAAGAAAUGGUGGACAAAAAAAUAGGAUGGACAUUAAUGAUAUAUGAACUAUGAAUAGUACUUUGUGAAGCAGACUUAGAUAACAUAUCUGCACAUCCAUUUUCAGUCCUUUUUUAUGCCUAAAUUCAAUUUCUUCAGAGUAGUUAUUCCACAAAUAGAUCGUAUGAGAUAUUGUUUUGAUAUGUAGAUUUGUUUUUUCAAUGUUAAGAAGAUUGAUAACUGUAAAAAUGUCUCCUUCGUAUAUGAUAUGUCUAUAACCGAGUCUCCAACAUGAGACAAGUUUGUUUAAAAAGUAAAUAAUUUUAUUUUUCUUAUAUUAUAUAAUCAAUAUAUAUUAUUUACUGAUAAUAAAUAUAUAGUUAUUCAUCUAUCACAAAUAUCUAUGCAAAUAUGUGAAUCAAGUACAACAAUCAAACAACAUAAUGAUUUCCACAAAGAAAAUUUAAAAAAUAUAUUUAUGUUAUGUAGUCAUAUUUUAUAUUUUUUAAAUAAUGUAAUACAGUAUUAUACAUUAUUUUUUUAGAAUUGAGAAAUACAUAUAUCACUUAGACAAAUUAAGCGAUAAUUAAACAAAUUUGAUUUUUAUUUUGUGAGCAAAAAGUUUAUUAUUAAUUAGCAUUACUUAUUUCAAG
This 47715-nucleotide long non-coding RNA is filed under the name Brassica rapa (field mustard). RNAcentral's name for it is "long non-coding RNA (BRAP_LNC004554)". The stretch from base 21236 to 21361 matches the Rfam family "MIR9563 microRNA precursor family". The record is from RNAcentral. Lineage: Eukaryota; Viridiplantae; Streptophyta; Magnoliopsida; Brassicales; Brassicaceae.